AGGUUCUUGUUUUGGGAAAGAAAUACGGAUCUGGUGGUGCAUAAGUCAGCCUCGUAACAUCCUUUAGAAUUUAGAUGGUGAUGAAAAUCUUUUUGUUGUUACAUUUGAGUAUUCAGUUGGGGAGACAUUUAUCAUUUUUCCUUUUGACUUUUUUUUUGUAAUAAUUCGAAAAAUCUUAGAGUGGGUCAAAGUUUAAAAACCCCACACUCGUUUCCCUUGUUGAAGGAUUAUUACUGUUUUGUUUGGGCGGACCUUAUUUCAAUUGCAGAGCUUACAGAUUCUGAAUGAAAUCUUUUGAUAAAAUCAAAUGCGGAUCAGUUUGGGACUUGUGUUAUUUUAAGUGUGGUAUAUAAUAUUUUGCACUAACCAUCUUGUUUUCAUACUUAUCUUGAGGGUAUACAAAUUUUAUAUGCUUGACCCCUCUGUCUAUACAUAAUUAUGCUACACAUGAUGACAAAAUCCUAACCUGCAGCCGUCAGUUGUAUCUCUGUUUUGAUUGGUUGAUAUGGCAGUGUGAUUUAAACAGUACGUAGACAUGACUCCACGAGUCAUUGAAGGUUGGAUCAAUGUGGUUACUUUUUAUCCCCUAUUUUCUUACUAUUUGCUGCAUCUGUUGUUGCACAACAGUUUUCUUAGGUAAUGGAUGUGAAUCGUAGGAGUCAAGAUUCUUUCAAGGAGAAAUAUUAUCUAGUUACUCUCUUCAUCUCAAUGUAUGUGAUAUAGGUUGAGCUGACCUGGAGUUUAAGUUGUGUUUUCUAAUGAAAAGUCAUUCUUGGUUAUGGGUGAUUAACACAGACAAAUUAUUUCUGAUUGAACAAGUGAAUUUUUUUCUUAUAAAUUAAAGAAAAUUAUUAUAGAUAAAUAAAGGAUAUGUGUAUAUAUUAGGAAUGUACAACUCUGUUGAUUCAACCUGUAUGAAUAGGAAAAUUAAAACAAGGAUUAUGGAGUAGUUCAAACAAAAGCAGAGGAAACUCUGCAGAAGAGUUAAGUGUGUUGACCAAAUGGAAUUUCCUUGUUGUCAAUGGGAAUCUAAACAGAGCUUCGGAAGACUCGUAUCAAUUCCCUUAUAGAAAGCAAAUGGUUGAUCUGCAAUGGAGACAUUGAGUUGCCAUACGGAAAAAAGUAAGUCAAGAAUGUCCAUGUGUAGUGUACUAUUUUGUUCUUUAUUAAUUUCCUUACUGAAAGAGCCUAUCUAUCUAUAUAUAAUAGGAGAAGAAAAAAUGUCACAUAUAAUAACAGUAUUCAACCUCUUCUUCAAUUCUUGAAAACUUUUUUCACAAGCUUUAGACCAUUGAAACUUAACUGUUUUCUGAGUCAACUUGGUCAAAGGAGACGAGAUAGAUGAAAACCCCUCAACAAACUUUCUAUGGUAGUCAGUCAAAUCUAAAAAAUUCCUUAUAUCAGUUGGAGACGUAGGUCUAGGACAACUUUGAACUGCUUCUAUCAUUUGGGUAUCAACUCUAAUCCCAUUACCAAAAAACUAUGUGGCCCAAGAAUGCCACAAAUUUAAGCCAAAACUCACACUUGAAGAACUUGACAUAUAACUCUUUAUCUUUCAAAGUCUAAAAGACUAUUAUGAGUUUACUAGCAUGAUCUUCUUUAUUCCUUAAAUAAAUUAGUAUGUCAUCAAUAAAGACAACAACAAACAUAAAUAAAUAAGGUUUGGAGACUCUAUUCAUAAGAUCCAUGAAUACUGCAGGCGCAUUGGUCAACCCAAAUGACAUGACAAAAAACUCAUGAUGUCCAUAAUUGAUUCUAAAAGAUGUCUUUGGAAUGUCACAUUUCCUAACUUUCAACUGAUGGUAGCCUGAUCUAAGAUCAAUUUUCGAAAAGCAGGAAACACCCUGAAGCUGAUCGAAAAGAUCACCUAUCCUUGGAAGAGAAUAUUUAUUCCUAAUGAUAACCUUAUUCAAUUGACGGUAAUCUAUGCACAUCCUAAGGGAACUAUCACUCUUUCUCAUAAACAAGACUGGAGAGCCUCAAGGUGAGACAUUUGGUCGAAUGAAACCCUUAUCUAACAGAUCUUUCAACUCUUUCAAUUCUGCUGGAGCCAUUUUAUAUGAAGGAAUAGAGAUAGGACAAGUAUCUAGAAGAAGAUCUAUGUCAAAGUCUAUCUCUCUUAGGAGGCACUUCAAGAUGAUCAUCUGAAAAGACUUUUGGGAACUUUUUUACUACUGGAACUGACUGAAUAAGAGGUAUCUCAAUACUAGAAUUAUUAAUUCGGACUAAGUGAUAGACAUACUCCUUAUAAACUAAUUUUCUCGCCUUAAGGUACGAAAUAAAACGAUCCUUAGGCACUGUUGAAUUGGUUUUCCACACUAAGACUGACUCAUUUGAAAUCUGAAACAUGACUACACAAUCAAUUGAGGCAUAACAUACAUGACGCCAAUCCAUACCAAGAAUGGUUACAAGCAAAUGAAAAUAAGAGAGAUAAACGUAAUAUUAUAAAACAUAGGAGAGGUGAGUGUUAUUAAGUAAAACCUGAAGGGAGAUCUCUGAAAUUAUCCCUUAAUAUUAUUAAAAGUCAUAUGACCAAAGGAGUUCCUAAAAUAUGAUAAAGGCACAAUAGUCUGGUGGACCCUUGUACUUGUAUCAGAUUGUAUUAUGGACCUUUCUACUUAGCUUUUUGUCUUCUGGAUCUUUAUACUCAACAUAACACAAUAUAUUAAACCCCACUGACCAUUUAUCAUCCUUAUGUGACAUUAAUAUAGAUGAGUUGGCAAGAGAGUGUAGUCACACGCCUGCAAAGGCAAGUGAACAUGAUAUUUGAAAUUUCAACUUUUACUUUUAAGUUAUUAAAAUUAUUUUUUUAAAAAAAUAAAUUUAAAAAGAAAAAAAACUCUAUCUUCUUCCCUACACUACCUCCAUCUUCUUCCCCACACUACUUUUUUUCCAGCCACCCCAACCCCAACCUAUUUUUCUUUCUUAUCCACACCCUAUCGUUAUUUAUCUUCAUUUUUCUUUCAACUUCUUUUUGUUUUUCUUUUUUUUGUUACCCUAAAAAAAAAUGAAAUUGGGCAAAAAAAUUUGAACAUAAUAAGCAAAGAAAAAUAAAAAAAAUUAGUGGAGUAGUUGAUAUCUCUAAUGAAUAACUUGACCUCUUUUGGUGUAGAUAAUUCUAGAGAGAGAGAGAGACCAGAAUGUAGAUACUUUAUGGACUUGUAUAGUAAUUUUUAUUUACUAGAAAAUAGUAUAAUUAAUAGGUUGACUCUCAUUUGUAAUCACUCAACUUGUAAAGCAACCUUCCAAGCUUAAUACAAUUCCUUUUUGAAAACUUUUUUUUUUUAGUUUUUCUUUACAUUCUCUUAGCGAUCUAACUUUAAAAGGCUUAUUUGAGUUUACAAUAACAUGAAAGAGUCGUGAGUAAGUUAUCAAAUGUUGCAUUGAUCAAUAGUUAGACUCUAAAUCCGUGACACAAAAGUCUGUUUAUAUGCAAAAAUGUUAUUUGGAUUUGGAGAGACAUUUUUAAUUUGAAAAUUAAUACUUGUUAUAAAUAAUUGAGUCCUAUGGACAAGUGUAUGCGAUUUUAGUUGGUGUAUGUCCAUAUAACUUGUGUUCGUUAGUUUCCUUUUAAAAAAUAAAAAUUAAUGUAUGAAGAAUGUAUAAUAAUCGAUAAAAGUGCUUCAAUUUUCUUUCUUAAAAAUUCAAUGAAAUUAAAUAACUCCAUGUAUUUUUGUUUUUUUUCAUAUCAUUAGGGUUAUCUUGAUUUAGCACAAAUAUCCGCUAAUUAUUAAUUUAACACAAUAUGGAAUGAUUAAAAAAAACAGUCAAUUUCAAUAUGAAAAAGAAUAGCUUGUUUAUUGCUAAUAUACACUAUUCGAAUGGGGCCUACAUGGUAUGACUUCGUAAUAAUUGGGCUUUACUAUGAGUACGAAACAGGGAGUAAGAAAAAAAAACUCUUUUAUAAAAUUCGGAAUCAAAAGAAAAAACCCCCACAAAUGGUGAAAAUAGAAAAAAGUACAAAAAUACAACAAUGAUUAAAUAUAUAUAUAUAUAUAUAUAUAUAUAUAUAAAAGAAAAUUCUAGACUCGCCUACGUGGUACCACCAUAAAUCAUAAUUUUCUUUAAAUUUAUUUUAUUUCUAAAACUAGCCUUCCCUUUUCAUUAAAAGUUUCAAAUUUUAUGAAAAGUUGCGACUUUUAUGAAGAAUUGCGACUUUUAUGAAAAUUUGUGAUUUUUAUGAAAAAUUGUGACUUUUAUGAAAUGUUGUGACCUUUUUGAAGGGUUAUACCUUUUCAAAAGAGUUGUGACCUUUCUAAUAAGACACAAUAAGCAUUUGUUCACACUACCUUUUGUUGUCUAUAAAUAGAGGAAUUUCCUCUAACUUAAAACAACGAAAAUUUUAAACUUCUUCUUCUUCUGGAAACUGAAAUAAUUGUGUCAUUUGCUCCUAUUAAAUGACUCCCUCACUCCAUUAUUUUUGUAUCAAUACACUGGUGAAUAUAACUGAUCUAUCAUGAGAAAAUAGAUUCCUUAAAUCUCAGGCAGUAGGGAGGAUUAAUCUCCUUAAGGGGAUAAUGUGCAUUUAGUGGGCUAGAUUUAUUCCAUUCUGUUUCACUCUAUUGUUACAGAUCCCGAAUAUACAUUUUUUUUGUAGGUAUUAAUUUAUGCUUAUAUUAUUAAUUGUUACUUUUGAGUACAUGCUUUAGGUUUUUUUAAUGUUUCUGCAAAAUUAUUGUUAUAAGUAUUUGUUAGUACAAUUAAAUAACAAACGUUACUUGAGUAUUCAAGCAAAUUUUCUCUAUUAGAAUUGUUACAAGAAAAAAAAGAGCUCUUACAAAUCUCUAAUUUCAUCAACGACUUCAUUUUUUCACAUACAAGGAUAACAUUUUGUUUUCUUUAGAGGAAAAAGACAUAAGUACCCCCUAACCUAUGCCCAAAAUCUCAUAGACGCACAUAUACUAUACUAAGGUCCUAUUAUCCCAUGAACUUAUUUUAUAAAUAAUUUUCUACCCUUUUUAGCCUAUGUGGCAUUAUCUUUUGGACCUAACGCGUGUUGACAUAUUUUUUCAAGCUACUAUCACGUAGGCUGAAAAGGCGUAGAAAAUUAUUUAUAAAAUAAGUUCGGUGUAAUAGGACCUUAGUAUAUUAAAAGCGUGUCUUUUGAAUUUCGAGCAUAAUUUGGGGGUACUUGUGCAAUUUUCCUUCUUUAAAAAAAUCCUUUAAGAGUUAAUAACUUUGCAUGAACAUUUUAUUUUUAUUUUUAUGUUGUUGUUAUCUAUUUUUUCACUAAAUUUUAUCAGUGGAUAUUAUGAGUACUUUAAAAAUUGAAAGUUGAUUGAAGUGUUAGUCUAUUUUUGAGGUAUGUUAUUUCAAAACAAGAGAACUUUUUUGGUCAGAGUGAUUUGUUAUCAUCAUUGGAUAUCUCAUAGUUUAUUCCUUUUGAUGUACUUUUUCCGUUGUUUUGUUAUCUCGUUAAAAUUGUAUUGAUUAUUUUUUAUUUUGUAUGUAUAUGAUCUCGCUUGGACAAAGUUUUCGUCCGUUUAAUUUUUGUCUUUUUUUUCCCUUCUCAUUUAGUUCUUCUAAAUAUUUUUGGUGUGAGUUAUGACUAUUUUUAGCAAGUUUGAUUUGCAGAAUAUGAAACAAAACCUGCUCUAAAUACAAGUAAUAUUUUUAGCUAUAUAAGAUAUGUCUAUUAACAUAGAUUUGUUGUCCUUUAUAUCCCAAGUCAUUGAUGAGCAUCUGAGUUAUUUAGGUUAGACUCACUUUUAAUUUUUUAAUGUUCGAGAAUAUUUCUCUACCAUGAGCCUAGAAUCCUACAUUUUGAUCUACUCGUACUUUCAUAAUGCAAAAAUUAUACAUACAUAUUUCUAAAAAAAUCGUAAAGUUGCAUCAAUGAAGUAUCUUCUAGAAGGGCCUUCAAAGUAGCAAUUUAAUGAAGAAUAAAUUUCUAAAAGGGUUAGCAAUAUUAUUGUGCUGUUGUUUCAAAUUUAUUUUUCUCCUUCUUUGAAUUUUGCUAGAGUAACAAAGUAGCAAUAACAAAAAGUGGUAAAUAUUUAACCUCGGACAAGUAGAUUGUCUCUAAAAAAAAAAUCUAUUUAUGUUGUGUGGUGUACAUUUUUAACGGUCUUAAUCUAUUUAUAACUGAUAUUGAUUAUUGAAAUUUUUGCAUAUUUUUUUAAUCAGAAGGAGUUAAUCUAACUCUAAAAUUACGAGAUUCCAUAUUUUUCAUGUACAAAAAAAUAGAAAAAGUAUUUUUAAUCGUUACAAUAAAAACAUUACUCGAUUUUAACAAGACAAUUAUAUCAUCAAACAUAUAUUAAGAUGAAUUAUGUAAAAGAUAAAAAAUAAUUAGAUAACAAGAUAUUUUUAAUCAUUCAUUAUAUUUUUUCAAUUCUUGAGAUAUGUGAUAAUUCGUUAGAAUAUUCUUAAAGCCUACUAAAAUUUAUCUUUUUUUUCCUUAUAACAUUUGAUUAUUGGAAAGGUUGUUCAAAAGUUUAGAAAGAUUAUCUAUACCCGCACAAAGUGCGGAUAGAUUACCUAAUAAAUAAUAAAGAAGAAAACAUAAAAUUUCACGAACUUAGCAGCAAAAUUUACUGUCUUUUUAACAUUACGAGUAAUUAUUUACCCCACAAUCUUUUUUCAAGUGAAUUAAAAUACACUCAAUUCGCUGACAUUACAAGUCAAAAAAGUAACAAUGCGUUUAAACCAAAAAUUAAAGAGAAAAAAAUAAGCGGGUCCCAAUUAUUUUCUUUUCUUUAUCUUCUUCAUAACCUACCACCCCGGCCCUUAGUACCACCAACCCCAACCCCAACUCCCGCCGCUUCAUCUUCCUCACAUCCAAUCCACCCCACCCGUCCUCAACCACCACUUGCACCACCCCUUUCUUCUUCUUUGAACCCUCACUCCCACCUUCUUUUUUUCUAUUCAAAUCUUAGUGUCUCACACUUUUCUUCUUCUUCUUCUUUGUUGAUAUUUUCAUCUUUUUUUUCCUUCUUCAAGACGCCCUUUCCAUUAGUAAAACUUAAAAAAGUGUGAUGAACACCUAUUUGUUCUUGCUUCAAAUAAAUUAAUAUUUAUGACAAGAAUUGAAUGUGCGCGGAUAAUUUUAUUAGUUAUAAAUAAUUUCAAAAUUAUUUUAAAUACAUUUUGACCAACCUUUUAGAUAGUAUUUUUUCAUUUAAAUAGUAAUAGUAGUUUUUUAUAUAGGUUUUGAAUUCUUAUGUUUUAAAUUUAAAAUAUUAUUUUAUUUUAAUUUGAUUUAAUUUCAAAUAUUAGUCAAAUAAACAUUAAAGAACUCAAAUAUAACGAGUAUUUGAAACGAAGGGAGUAGUGAAUUACCUCCAUUCUUUUGGGGCUUAAAAAAUUAUUUUGCCUUUAGCACUUAACAAUCAGUUGUUAGAGUCUGGUUCUCUUCUUUACUGCUUAUAUCUUUGAUGUCUCAGGGCCUUUUGUAUGUUUUUCUUCUAAAUUGUUACGAUUUUUUCUUCAAUUUCUCAGAUACGGCUACAAAUUUAUAUCAAUUUACAGAAAAAGGCAUCAAUUUGUUUAAUUAAAAGGGUACAAUUAUAUGUCAUAAAUUAGGAAGAUGAUAACAAGUUUCCGACAGAGGUUUGGAAUAAUGGAAAAGGUCAAGUCUUUACAAUAAUAAAUAACAGUAUUAAAAAAUGUAAUGACUUUAGUUUUUUCUGCCUUUUUGUAGUGCAAGUCUUGUUGUCUGUUUAAUAAUGAAAAAAUUAACAUUUUAUGGAAAAUGAUAAGAAGUUCCUCAUAAAUUUUAGGAAUAGUGAAAAUGGUAAAGUCUUGUUCUUUAAUAUUAAACUAGAAAUUUUGUCUUUGUCUUUUCAGUCUUUUUGACCAAAUUAUGCAUUCACAUAUUAAGCAGCAAAAGUGAUAUGUUUUCUCAUCAUAUACCUAAAGCUGAGAAGUUUCCUGUUAGUCCUUAACAAUAUUCUUCAACAAUGUCUCAUGCUUCUUCUUCCAAAAUUUGCUAGUAUGAUGUCUUUUUGAGUUUUAGAUUUGAAGAAGAUACACGUAGAAACUUUGUGAGUCAUCUCUAUAAUUCUUUCGAAUUAAGAGGAAUCCGCACUUUUAAAGAUGAAGAGCGACUAGAACCGGGAAAAUCAAUUUCUGAUGAACUUUUGAAAGCCAUACAAGAGUCUAAAUUUGCUAUAGUGAUAUUUUCCAAAAGCUAUGCAUCGUCAAGAUGGUGUUUAAAGGAGCUUGCACACAUCAUAAAGUGUAAAAAGGAAUUGGAGCAGAUUUUCAUUCCAGUUUUCUAUGAUGUGAGUGUGAGCCAUCAACAUCUCCCUUUUGCUGAUUCAUUUUUACAACAUAAGAAAAAAAUGCAAAGAUGAUAUGGAGCAGGUUCAAAGAUGGAGGGGUGCAUUUGCGGAGGCUGGGAAAAUAUCAGGGUAUCAUUUACGAAAUUUCAACUAAGCUUUCUUCUUCUUCUGUUUGGGUUUCUCUUUAUCAAGAGCAUAAAAGGACCAAACUUUUAGCUGUAAUUCCACAUGAUCAUCAUCUAUACUUUUACCCUAAAAAAAGGACCAAACUUUUAGCUAUAUGGUUAUUUGAUGAUGUAAUUAGAUUUUAACAUGUUAUAAUUCAUAAUAGUUGGUUUAAGCUACUUUAUGACAUCGACAAGUCUUUCCUUUUCUAUUAUUUACUCUGAGAGUAUUUUCACUGUAAUGUAGGGAUGAGGCUGAGUGCAUCAAUAAGUUAGUUGAUAACAUAUUUCCUAAGUCACUUCAAAUUAUUUCACCUUUCCCGGAAAGUUUAGUGGUUAUAAAUCUCAGGUUGAGAAAGUAACCUCAUUAUUAGAUUAUGGAAUCAAAUGAUGUUCGCUCUAUCGGAAUUUGGGUAUGGGCGGCAUUGGCAAGACAUAAAUUGCAAAUGUUCUACAUCAAAGAUACCGCCAUUAAUUUGAAGCUGAUUGUUUUCUUGGUGAUGUCAGAAAACUUCAUCAGAAAAAUGGACUAACAUGGCUACAAAAAGUAGUCAUUCACAAGCUCUUGGGUGAAAAAUCGACUCUAACUAGUGAGCAUGAAGGGGUGAAUAUUUUAAAUAAUAUACUUCGCUGGAAGAAAGUUUUGUUCAUCAUCGAUGAUUUAAACCAUCAAGAACAGUUGGAAUUUUUGGUUGGAGGGACAAAGUGGUUUGUUAUGGGUAGCAAAAUUAUUUUAACAGCAAGAGACAAGCACCUGUUAAUCAGUCACGUUGGGGAUAACGUGUAACAACUAUUAUAGGAGGAUGAAACACUUGAAUUGUUAAGUAGGCAUGCUUUUAGAGAAAAAUCACCAAAAGAAGAUUUUAUGAAAUUUUCAAGACAAGUGGUGAACCAUGCUGGUGGGCUCCCUUUAGCUCUUAAAAUUUUGGGUUCUUCAUUUUAUGGACGAGACAUAAAGCACUCGAUAUACAUAAUUGAUCGGCUGAAGAGAAUCCCUCACAAGGAUAUUCUAGGAACGCUUGUGCUUAGUUUUGAUGGCCUGGGCAAAGAUGAGAAGGAAUUAUUUCUAGAUAUUGUAUUUCUGGAUAUUGCAUGCUUGACUAGAUACGAUUUUCAUCUUUGUGUGGAACUAGUACUUAGAGACGUGGGUCAGGAUUUUCUAAUAGAUUACCUUAUUGAAAAAUCUCUGUUAUCCAUCAACAUAAGUAACAGUAUGGUGAUGCAUAAUAUGAUAAGAGAAAUGGGUGAAAAUGUCAUACGGGAAGAGUAUGAUAACAGCAGAAUAUGGCUUUCCGAGGAGGUUUGUGACCUUUUUAAAGAAAACUUGGUAAGCAAUAUUUAGCGUUCGUAAUAAUUUCAUAUGCUCUUAAUUCUGUUUUUUUUUUGUUUCAUUUUUAUUUGUUAGCAAUUAAAUACAUAAGUUUCAUUCUUUACAAAUAACUGAAAAGGUGGAAAGCCUAUCUAUACCAAAUGAUUACUAUUUUGAAAAUGAUUUUCUCAAUUAUAGCAAUAUUUUCAAGAGGAUACAAAGCUUAAAAAUACUCAUAGUUGGUGGUGGAACUUUUAGCUCGAACUGAGCUAUCACUUAUCUUCCCUCGAGCUUGCGGCUUAUAAGUUGGCCGAGGUAUCCUUCAAUUUCAUUGCCAGAGAGCUUUGAACCAUCACAGCUCCUGGUGCUUUGUUUACAUAGAAGUUGGCUUGUUGAACUUUGGCCAACAUCAAAGGUAUACUCUCUAUCUCAAUAUCUAAUUUCUUUGAUGUAAAUAAUAAUUGCUUUGAUAUAUAUAAUUAACAUAAACAUUUUUAAUUUAUUGUGCACUCACUUGAAAGUGAAAACUUAAAACUUGUAAAUCCAAUGUACAAAGACUUAAAUCAAACACAUCAUCUCUCCAGCAGCUCAUACUUUAAUCUUUCAUUUCCCGAUUAAAUCUUCAAAUUUAUUAGGUGGAAUGGAAAUCCAAUGCCCCUCCUUGUGUCCCAUCUUUAAAUACUGCUUGUUAUAAAAAUAGGCUCCUUUUGUUUAUUAUGUAAGCCAAUUGAAAUUUUCCCUUUGGUAAGCCCAAUCUUGUAGUCCCUAUGCUUUUCAUGAUAAUGUAAUACAAAGUUAUGUAUCUUUGCUCAAUUUGCUUAGUACAUAUUAGUACUAGUUUGUGAUGUUGUGUUUCGUAGAAACAAUAGUUGAUGCAUGUUGUUACAACUUUUGAUAUAUGUUUUCAAUGUAUAGUGAAUAAUUUGCAGUUUUAUAAGUAUACUUCGAUAUGUUACAUUUGAAUGUGGUAUCACAAGUGAAAACUAAAAAUUAUGAUAAUCCUAGAAUAAAUGGAAUAAGUGUAUAUGAGGUACUAUGAGUGAACUCAUAAUCAUGACAAUCCAAUAGAGUAAUGUUCAAAUGAGUUACCAUGAGUAAUAACUAGAAACCAUGGAAAUUCUAGAAAGAACUUAUCCAACAAGAUAGUCAAGGGGUCUAAAACAUAAGCUUAAAAAAAAGGGAAUGUUUCUCUCUCGGUGCAAGUUAACUUAAAUUGCGCCAACCAUGGGUAGGAGGGUUUCGUAUUUCCACACAGAAGGCGAUCAUGGCAAAAGAGAUGCAGAGCAUGAAGGGAAACACGCAGAAAAGGAGGAUAUUGGCUCUAAUGGAAGCUACAAAAUGUCGAUUUAGGGCAACAAUUAGCAGAAUCAAGUAUGGAAGUUGGGGGAACACAAUGCACUAUCAAUUCAAAGAAUAAGAGAGCUGAUUUAAGUCAGGAACUAGAGGCAUUCACUGUUGGAAUAGAAAUUGGGGAACCUACUGAUGCCACUACGAAAGGAACGACGCUAGGUAAAUAGAAAGCAUUAUGGAAGCAACAAUCUGAGGCACAAAUCAUUUGGAAGGAGUUACAAACUCCACCAAGUGCUCACCAAAUGGGUACAUCAAACAGUACCAAGUAAUCAUGGGUAGAUGAGGUUGAAGAAGAGGCUCAUUCUAAAGCACAGAAGAGGUCAAUUUGGGAUGACUUUGACAUUGCUAAGAUUUCUAAUGCAAGAUAUAAGUUGGAAUAUGUGGCUCCAUUGAAAGUAAGGGAAAAAUUGGUGGUGGAGAUUGACAUAGAGGAUAUCAAAACAGAAAUCGAUUUUCGGAGUAAGGUUGUGGUAUGUUAUGUUUGUUAGAAUGAUGAAAAUCUAAAUAAUUGAAUAUAUUAAUGUAAUAAGAUAGUGAUACAAAUUAGCAUGAUCACAUAGAUUUGUUGUAGAAUCAAAGGAAUAAAUAUUUGAUAGAAUGGCGGAUUUGGAGGGAUUGAAUAACAGAUUUGUAGAGAUAGAAUAGCUGAUAUUUAGGGAUAGCAAUGACAGAUCUUUAGGGAUUUGUAAUAUUUAUUCUCUUUAUAUAAUGGAAAGACUCAUACUUUGAGAGGCGGCAUUCAACAAAACUGACAUGGUAUCAGAGCCUUUUGCAGUGCUUUGAUUCUUAGUGUCUUUCAUCUGUUGUUCCUUCCAGAUUUUUUUGGAAGUUUUGGUUCUGCUUACUGUUAGUCAAAAGUUAGUCCUAAGUAUCUUGGAAGUUAAGGCCUCUUAGAAUCUUAGUCUUGGUCAUUCUGGUUAUUUUGCAUGAUUGCAUUUUUAUCUUCCUUAGCUUGUUAAAAACAUGUCGUCAUAUCAGUUCGAGUCCUUCCAUGUUUGUUUCACGGGAAAAAAUUACUCCGUCUGGGAAUCUUAAUUCUAACUGUUGAAUGCCUUGAAUCGAACCCGUUACAACAAAAAGAACGGGGGUCUCGCUGUUAGGGCCCAAGCCUGUUAGAGCAUAGCUUAGCACUAUAUAUAGACGCUACGGCAAACCUUAUUCUGAAUUUUGUUCUUGCCUCUCCAUAAUAAAACUGCUCCCCCUCCUCCCGUCGUAGCCAAUUUAUUGGUGAACUACGUAAAUCUGUUGUCUUGUUUUUCGCGUUUAUAUUUUCUCGUAUUAUCUCAAAUUCCGCAUAACAUUAACUAUUUAUCAUCGGAAAAGAAUUAUGGGGCCAUAUAGAUGGAAGCGAUCCUACUCCUACCGAUCCUAAAAAGCUUGGUCAAUGGAAGGUUAAAGAUGCUCAAGUGAUGACAUGGAUUUUAGGGUCAACUGACCCUCUUAUUGUUCUUAAUCUCAUGCCACACAAGACAGCAAAGGCCAUGUGGAAUUAUUUACGAAAGGUUUACAACCAAUACCAUAGCGCAAGACGCUUUCAGUUGGAACAUGAAAUUGCUAUGUAUUCACUAGGAGGUCUCUCCAUUCAAGAUUAUUUCUCUGAAUUUCAGAACUUAUGGGCUGAAUUUACCGAUAUCCUUUAUGCUAAAAUAUCUUCUGAAUCUCUCUCCAUCAUUCAAGGAGUUCAUGAACAAAGCAAGCGAGAUCAAUUUUUGAUGAAAUUACGAUUUGACUUUGAAAGUGUUCACUCCAACUUGAUGAGUUGUGAUCUAUCUACCUCGUUGGAUAUCUGUUUUAGGGAAUUACUUUGUGAGGAGCAGCGUCUCAUCAUACAAAAUGUUUUUCAUCAAGGAAAUGUUGUCACUAUUGCAUUUGAAGCUCAAGGGAAAGGAAAUGACGUGGAUAUGACUAGAACUCAACGCUACAGUUGCAAGAAAUAUGUUCAUAUUGCUCGCAAUUGUGGUAAGAAGUUCUGUAAUUAUUGUAAACAACAAGGACACAUUAUCAAAGAGUGUCCCACACGUCCUCAAAAUCGUAGGACAAAGGAUUUCCAAGUUGGGAUAAAUGAUUCCACUACAGAUAGAUCAUCUUCGGUAGGAUAAGUUAUUACUCCUUAAUUGGUACAACAAAUGAUCUUGUCAGCAUUUUCAACUUUGGGACUUCAAGGUAAUGAGGUAAUAUCUAAAUUUUGGCUUGUUAAAUUUGGCGCUUCCAACCAUAUGACCAACUCAAUUGAUAUACUCAAAAACUUUCAUGAGUAUAAUGGUCCAACACAAAUUCAGGUUGGCAAUGGUAGUUAUUUACACAUUACCAAGGUUGGGGAUAUUACUAAAAAUUUCAAGAAGCUCUCCACUAGUCUUAUUUCGGUUGGCCAAUUUGUAGAUAACAAUUGUAAUGUGAAAUUUUCUCGUAAUGGUUGCAUUGUGCAGGAUCAGGUGUUAGGGACGAUAAUCGCGAAGGGGCUUAAAGUUGGAAGAUUGUUUCCUAUACACUUUGCUAUUCCCUGUUCUGGAUUUUGCUUCCACCACUACUAGGAAUAAGGUUUGGCAUAAACGUCUAGGACAUCCAAAUUCUAUUGUGUUGUCUCAUUUUUGCAAUUUUGGUUUAUUGGAAAAUAAAAAUCAAUUUCCAGUUGCUUCCUUUGAUUGUUCUACUUUUAAAUCAGGCAAAAGUAAAACUCUUCAUCUUCCAGAUUUUGGUAGUCGUGCUGCAAAGUGUUUUGAUGCCAUUCAUGAGGAUGUUUGGGAAAUUUCACCAGUAACUUCACAUGCUCAUUUCAAGUAUUUUGUGACAUUUAUAGAUGACCAUAGUCGAUUUACAUGGGUGUAUUUUCUUAGAUCUAAAUCUGAUGUGUUUUCCAUAUUCAAGAAGUUUUUGAAUUACGUUGAGACUCAAUUUUCCACAUGCAUCAAAAUAUUAAGAUCUGAUUCUGAUUCUAGAAGUUUUUGAAUAUAUGUCUCAUGAAUUCAAUAAUUUGUUGCUUAAGAAAGGAAUUGUAUCACAACGCUCUUGGUCAUACACGCCACAACAAAAUAGGGUUGCUGAGCGUAAAAACCGUCAUCUUUUGGAUGUCACUCGUACUUUAUUGAUUGAGUCCUCUGUUCCAUCUAAAUAUUAGGUUGAAGUUGUGUCUACUGCUGUCUAUUUGAUUAAUAGACUUCCAUCUAAAGUGUUAAACCUUGAGUCUUCAUAUUAUCAUCUUUUUCACAAGCAUCCUAGCUAUCAUAGUUUUCAUACAUUUGGUUGUGUUUGUUUUGUGCACCUGCCUCCUUCUCAACGCAAUAAACUCUCUGUUGAGUCUAUUAAAUGUGCUUAAAUGGGCUAUAGUACAUCCCAGAAAGGAUUUAUUUGUUACGAUUCAAGUUCUAACAAAUUUCAUGUUUCUAUGAAUGUUAUUUUCUUUGAGAAUCAGUAUUUCUUUCCUAAUCAUAUUCAGUCAUCUUCUUUUUCUCCUCUUCUUCCUAAUUUUUAGGAUUUGUCAUUGUCUUCUAAGCGGUUCAAACCAGAUUUACGUAUGAACGACGUCGGCCAACUUUACCCCAUCCAUAAAUAGAUUUGCAACCUGAGAUUGCUGCACAAUCAGAAUCUGAGAUUUUUUCAAGGCCUACUCCUCUUGAGCCUCAUCGGCGAUCUACUAGAGUGUCUCAAACUCCUAAACGGUAUGGUUUUUCUUCUACUUUAUCCACCAUCUCUAUUCCAACAGGUUACUCACAAGCUCCAAGCUUGAAUGUUGGUAAAAAACAAUGGAGGAGGAACAUUUGACUCUUAAAGAAAAUGACACAUGGGACAUGCUUUCAUGUUCUUCAAAUAUCCGCCCUAUUGGAUGUAAAUGGAUUUAUUCAAUUAAACUUUAUUCUGAUGGAACUCUUGAUCGGUACAAAGCUCGAUUGGUUGUUCUUGGUAGCAGACAAGAGUAUGGGGUGGACUGUUUGCAUCGGUAGAAAAAAUGACUACGGUGCGAACUAUUAUUGCCAUUGCUGCUUCACAGAACUGGUCUCUUUAUCAAAUGGAUGUCAAAAUCUUUUCUAUAUAGUGAUCUCAAAGAAGAGAUUUAUAUGAAACCUCCACCUGGUUUGUUCUCAUCACCUACAUAAGAUGUAUGCAAGUUGAAGUGGUCUUUGUAUGGAUUAAAACAAGCUCCAAGAGCUUGGUUUGAUAAGUUUUGGUCUACUUUGCUACAAUUUUCUUUUGAGCAGAGCAAAUAUGACUUGUCUUUGUUUAUUCGGAAAACAUCUACAAGUUGUGUUCUUCUUUUGGUGUAUGUAGAUGACAUUAAAGAAUCUUUUCAUAUGAAAUAUCUUGGUACUCUUACAUAUUUUUUUGGGUUUGGAAGUUCAUAAUGUUGCUUCAGGUGUGUUUCUAAAUCAACACAAAUAUACUCAGGAUCUGAUUUCUUUGACUGGUCUUCAAGAUUCCUCCUCCGUAGAUACUCCAUUGGAAUUGAAUGUGAAGUAUCGUCAUGAGGAAGCCGAUCUUCUUCCUAAUCCAACUAUGUUUCGACAAUUCGUUGGGAGUCUAAAUUACCUUACUAUUACUCGGCAUGAUAUCUCUUUUGCAGUGCAACAAGUUAGUCAAUUUAUGCAAGCUCCCCGUCAUCUCCACUUGGUGGCUGUUCGUUUUAUGAUUCUAUAUCUUCUAGGAACAUCUACUCGUGGAUUGUUCUUUCCAAGUGGUUCUCCUAUUCGUCUUAAUGUUUUUAGUGAUUUUGAAUGGGCGGGAUGUCCUAAUACUCGUCGUUCAGUCACUGGUUGGUGCAUGUUUCUUGGAGAGUCAUUGAUAUCAUGGAAGAGUAAAAAGCAAAGAUCGUGUUUUAAAAUUUUCAACAGAGGCUGAAUACGAUCCAUGUCUACUGCUUGCUCCCAGGUAGUAUGGCUUCGUGGAUUACUUGCUAAGAUUGGAUUUCCUCAAUCUCAUCCUACUCCUCUCCAUGUUGAUAAUACAAGUACUUUCAGAUUGCUAUUAAUCCAGUUUUUCAUGAGAGGACCAAACACAUCGAAGUAGAUUGUCAUUAUAUACGAGAAACUGUAGAUAAAGAAGUCAUUACUCUUCCACAUAUGGAAAAAUAUUGUCGAAUAAUUUCAUUCAUAUCUUUCUAUGUCAUGUACAUGACUUUAUAUAUACAUAAAAGAUUGUGCAAUAGAAUCACCUAAAUUAAGAGAAAGAAUUACAGAUAUGAUAUUCUAGAUUACUGCAAUUAUCCUAAGAUCUUAGAGCAUCAUAUCUUGAUAUGAAAAAUAUCUUCUCGUCUUAGAGGAUCAAAUCUUUGAUGACAUAAUAUCUUCUUGAAAUCCUUUAUCAGCCAACACUCCCCCUCAAGCGGGUGAAUGGAUAUCUUUCAUUCCUAGCUUGCUUAUUUGAUUUUGAAAAACAUUUUGGCAAUCCUUUUGUUAAAACAUCAGCCACCUGAUCUUUAGUGCUAUCAUGUUGUACAUGAUUAUGAGCUAUACUUAUUGCUGAUUUAUUGUCACAUUAUAGCCUCAUAGGUCCUUCCCAUCUUAUCUUCAAAUCAUCAAGGAUUAUUUUUAGCCAUAACAACUCACAAACUCCCAUCGCCAUAGAUCUAAACUUAGAUCCUACACUUGAUCUAGCUACAACAUUUUGUUUUUACUCCUCCAAGUCACCAUAUUUCCUCCUAAGAAUGUGCAAUAUCUAGAACAUGACCUUCGAUCCACUAAUGAACCAGCAUAGUCUGCAUCUGUAUAAACCAUGUAUCCUCCUCUUUUGAAUAAUAUUCCUUUUCUUGGACUUCCUUUUUAAGAUAUUGUACAAUAUGGUUGAUAUCUUGAAGAUGCAUUUCUCUUGGAUCGUACAUAAAUUGGCUAACAACACUACAACAAAUGCAACGUCCGGCCUUGUAUGGGACAAGUAAAUAAAUUUCUCUACAAGCCUUUGAUACAGACCUUUAUAAACCACUGAAUCUUCUGGAGCAUUGUACAAUCUAUGAUUAUAUUCAAUUUGUGUAGCCACAGGUUUACACCCUAACUUUUCUGUUUCUUUCAGCAAAUUAAGCACAUAUUUUUGUUGCGAAAUAAAGAUUCCUUGUUUUAAUGUGCCACUUCGAUUCACAAAAAAUACUUCAAUUUGCCAAGCUCUUUGAUGUCAAAAUCCUUGAGUAAACACUUCUUCAAAUUUUGCAUCUCCUAUGAAUCAUCACCUGUUACUAUAAUGUCAUCCACAUAAACCAACAAUGUUGUCACCUUUCCUGUUUUUGAGUGUCGUAUGAACAAAGUGUGGUCUCGUUGACUUUGUCGAUACCCUAGCUUUAUCAUGACAUUUGUAAAUCUUCCAAACCAUGCAUGAGGUGAUUACUUUAAUCCAUAGAGUGACUUCUUCAGUAUACACACCAUUCCCUUCUUGCUUUUAAAACAAGGUGGCACCUCCAUAUAGGUUUCUUUAUCUAAGUCUCCAUGUAUAAAGGCAUUUUUAUACCAAAUUGUUGUAGGUUCCAACUAUAAACUCCAGCCAAUGAUAAUAAACUUCUCAGUGUAUUCAUUUUCGCCACUAGGGAAAAAGUCUCCGAAUAAUCAAUUCCAAAUGUUUGUGUAUAACCCUUUGCUACCAAACAUGCUUUAUAUCUCUGUAUGGACCCAUCUGACUUGUAUAUCACAGUGAACACCUAUCUUCACCCGACCAACUUUUUUCUUUUGGUAAUUCCAUAAUAUCCCAAGUUUUGUUCUUCUCCAAAGCUUCCAUUUCUACCUUCAUAGAAUUCUCCCAUUUUUUAUUUCCUAAUGCUUCAGACUAAGAUUGGGCAACGGAACGGGACGUACCGGUACCGUUCCGGUUCGUCCCGUUUCGGUUGCCUACGGGACGGGCCGGGAUAUUCUAAACCGGUACACGGAACGGGACGGAACGGAACCGUAGUUUCGUACCGGUGUACCGGUACCGGUUCAUCCCGGUUCAUUCCGGUUUCGGUCCGGUCCGUUUCGGUUCCGGUCCAGUUUAUUUGAUAUAUAUUAAUUUUUUUAUAUUUUAUAUAAUUUAUAUUUAUAUUUUUUAUAAAUUUAAUUUUAAAAUUUAAUUUUUUUUCAAAAAUCUCGCCCCUGCCCGCCCUGCCCGCGCCUGCCUGCCCGCCCCUGCAGACUGCAGUCUGCAUAUGCAUAAAGCAGCACUGCAGCUGCAGUGCAGGCCACCCCCCCCCCCCCCCGCCCCCUACCCUUUUCCCAAGAACGGCUUUAAAUUUUAAACGGAAAAAUUAAAACGGCUAGUUUUUUUGUUGUAUAAAUUAGAGUUGUGUGUAAAAAAAUUUUAUUUACAAGUUUACAACUUACAAAUAUAAUCUGAGUAUUUGAGAGAAUAUAUAUUUCCAAAUUACAUUCAUAUUUAUAAGUAUAACUUAUACAAUUUGGUCAUUUGGUGUAUUUCGAAGGAGGAAUCUUCUUCAAAUUUCAAGUUUCGACAUCAAUAUUUUAAUUUUCAUUAUAAUCGUUUGUUCUUAUACAAACGUUUGGUAACUUCGUUCCACUCUCUAAUCUUAUAUUUAUUUUUUGUAUUUAUUAUUUAACUUGUAAGUUGUUCUUGUUAAGUUUCGUAUUUUAUAAUUUAUAAUUUUAUAUCAUGGAGUCUUCUAAAAAAAGUGGAAGUAAAAAAGGUCUAGUAGAAUCAGUAAAAAAAUUAGUUAAAAAAACUAACAAAGGUGCUAGUUCGUCUAAAUCUAAAAUUCCUCUUGUUAGAAUAAAUACAGAUGAAUUUACGCAUGUGAAUGAAACUAGUUUUUCCCGUCCCGGUCCUAUAAAUAUUAAUUCAGAUAGUCCGACUCCCCAUGAACUCUAUGAAAGAUAUUAUGGUAUUAAUCAAGAAAAUGAAGAAGUGGAAACGGAUGAACAAUUAAAUUUAGAUGAAGAAGUAGAUUUAGAUGAUACACCGACUAGCCCCGCCGCCGACCUCAAUACAGUCAAUAGUAUAGGUAUUGAAGCUCCACCUCCGGUUGGAACUACUCGUCCCCUUAUUAUUCCAACUAGAGGUAAGACCAAGGUACAACGUUCUUUAAAAUCACAUGUGUGGAAAUUUUGUUAUUUGAAUGAAGAAAAAACUUUUAGUAUAUGUAAUCUUUUUAAACAACAUUUUAAAUAUACAUCUGGUGGGACGGGAGGUUCAACAGGGGGAAUAAAAAAACAUUUGAUUAACAAGCAUAGUAAAGAGUGGUUUGCAUAUAUGUCUUCUCUUGAAGUUGGUGGAAAUUGUAAUGUUGAAGAAUCGGUUAGAGGAUCAAAUAUGGUUCAAAGUGAGUUAAAUACUUCGAACCCAAGUGGUCCUCUUACACAUCGAACCUAUAACAAGGAUCGUGAUCGUGAAAACUUUGCUAAAAUGGUUGUUGUUUGUGGUUUACCUUUUAGUUUUGGAGAACAUCCGGGUUUUAUUGCUUAUAUUCGUGAAACAUAUAAUCCUAGUUUUCAAGGUUUAUCAAGAAGCAUGGUAAAAAGAGAUAUUUUCGAAUUUCAAGAAAAACAUUGUCAAUAUUUACGUGCCUAUUUUGAACUAAUGGAUUGUAGAGUUGCUAUUACUACUGAUAUGGGUCGUAGUCCUAAUGGUUUUGAUUAUUUAACUGUUACUGCGCAUUGGAUCGAUUAUAAUUGGAAUUUACAAAAAAGAAUUAUUGGUUAUAAAAUUUGUCAAAAGAAAAAAAUCAGAAUUUAUAUUGCUACUACUGUGUUUGAAAUUUUAGAUUUUUUUGGUCUUUGUGAUAAAGUCGUUAGUAUUACUUUAGAUAAUGCCUCUGCUAAUUUAAAUGCUAUUAAUUUGCUAGAACCUAGACUUUGUCCUAUUAGUAAAUAUGCUUUUCAUGUUAGAUGUGCCGUGCAUAUAUUAAAUUUGGUUGUUAGUGACGGUGUGAAAUUAUUUGAAAAUAGUUGUGAUAAAAUUGAUAAUGCUUGUUUUUACAUUUUUCAUAUGAAUAGUAGUAGUAGAAUUAAUCAAUUUAAAGAACUUUGUAAUGCAUUUAAACUUCCGUUUAGAAAAGUUCCGAAGCAUGUAAAAACUAGAUGGAAUUCCUUUGAUGAUAUGCUUGAAGUUGCUUAUUCAUAUAGGCAACCUAUUACUACGCUAUUUAAUAAUCAUAAUGCUUAUCCUGAAUUUAAAAUUAAUGAUAGUGAUUGGGAUGAAGUAAAUGAACUUAGAAUAUUUUUGAAAUCAUUUUAUGAUGCUACUAAAAAUUUUUCUGGAAUAUAUUAUCCUACUAUUUCUGAAAUUUUAAUACACAUAUGUGAGAUUUCAUCUAUUUUUUCUGAAUAUAAAACAAAUACUUUAUUCACCUCUGCUAUUGAAGUUAUGAUUACAAAAUUUAAAAAAUAUUUUUUUCCUAUUCCUCAAAUUUAUUUAACUGCACUUCUUUUCAACCCCGAAUAUAAAGAAUAUGGUACAAAAGCUUUAGUUGAAUGCAUUUAUCAGAAUUUAGAUAUUCAACCUGAAGAAGAACCUGAUUUCGUAACAUGUCAAAAUAGUAUAAAAUACUUUGCAAAAGAAAUGUAUGAUAAAUAUUCAUUCUUAGAUAAUGUUGAAAAUCCUCAAACGUCUACAAAUCAAGUAGGUGCUCAUGGACGAGUGAAACAUAAACUUGGUCUUGACUCUUCUAAUAAAUGUGAAUUUGUUAAAUAUCUUGAACAGGGUACAGAUGAUAUUACAAACGAUAAUGGUAUACCGGAACUAUUGAACUGGUGGAGAAAUCGUGGAGCUCAAUAUCCAAAACUUAGUAGGAUGGUGAAGGAUGUGCUUGCAAUUCAAGGAUCAUCAGUAGCUUCGGAGGCAGCUUUUAGCGCGGCAAGAUUUCAAAUUGGAGACCACAGAUAUUCGUUAGCAGAAGACAGCCUUGAGAUAUCAGUGUUAUUUAGAGACUGGAUAAAUGCUGAGCGUAGAAAUCAAGGACUUCCAAAGUUAGAUAGUCAAUUUGAACUUUUCAUAGAUUCAGCUAUUGGAUGUGGUAGUGAUGAUGGCAUCGAAAUUCAAGAUCGUCAACGAGCUUUACCAAGACCAGAAGUUGAUCACAAUCAAUCCCUAGCUGAGUUAGAAAGAGGAUUUACGGGACUAUGCAACUAUUAGUAUUACAUUCGAGUCUCGAGACAUAGUUGAAACAGAACCCUUCCUAGAAGGUGGCUGCGUAAGCUAUGUACUCUACUAAUAGUUGUAAAUUGAAAUUGUAAUUUGUUACAAAUUUAAAUAAAUUAAAUUGAUAUUUUUUAAUUUUUGUAAUUUAAUUUACUUUUUUAAAAUUACAAAUUUUAUUUAUUUAAUAUUUACAAGAUACAAGUUAUAAAUAUAACUUAUAAAAUAAAUAUUAAUAAAUAUAAGUAAUAACUUAUAAAGUAUAAACUUCAAAAGAUUUAAAUUUUGAAAACUUUAUUAGAUUACUUGCAAACUUAACAAUAAUAAAAAAAAAUUAAUAAAAUAUCUUUAAAAUAAACUUAAGUUAAAAAUUAUAGUAUAAAUUUAAAAAACUAUUAAUUUAUACUUAAAAAAUUAAAAAAAAUUAUAUUUUCGUAAUUUAAAAAAUAUCGUCCCGUUAAUCCCGUCCCGUUCCAUCCCGGACCGUUCCGGUUCAUUCCGGUUCCGUCCCGGUAUAUAGUGGAAUGGGACGGAACCGAUGAACCAUCUCGGUAAUUCCGGUCCGGUUCAUCCCGGUACCGGUCAAAAUUCCGGUUAACGGAUUCCGGUCCGGUCUGGUACCGGUUCAUUCCGGUCCGGUGACCCGGUUCCGGUCCGUUGACCAGUCUUACUUCAGAAAAAUUUCUAGGGAUAGGAAUUGCGUGAAGGUUACUGAGAAAAGCUUUAUGACUUGAGGAUAGGUUUUGAUAUGUCAUUGAGAGGCUCAAAGGGUGUUGCGUGCAAAUUCUGGCUCCUUUUCUUAGUGCAAUGGGAAGGUCAAGGUCAUUAGGUUAAUUAUCUUCAUGAUCAAUUUGGUUUGGUGUUUCUGACGGUUCAACAAUUUCAGGAUGGGUAUCACGAGCAGUAAUCGGAGGAGAUGAUUGCAACUGAGUUGUUUGAUUGGUUAGUCUCUUUCUUAUGGAAUGUACUUGUAAUGGUAGAUUAUUCUCUAGAAUUCCAUUAUCUAUAUUUGGAUUAGGAGACUCAAUGGGUUCAUUUGGAUUUAGAGCCUCAGGUGAUGAAGAAAUGGUGAUUCAGGCAAGGAUUUUGCAUGACUAGAAAUGGACAAAUCAAAUAGUAACAAGUCUAGAGGUUCCUCUCCCUUCAAUGACUCCCCCCUGAUGUUAAGGAUGAUUAAAAAAGGAUUCACUCUCAUCAAAUGUGACAUCAUUGAAACAAAGAAUUUCUUUGAUAAUGGUUGGUAACACUUGUAACCUUUUUGAGUAGGAUAAUAUCCUAUUGAAACAUACUUAAGAGCACAUGGGUCUAACUUGCCUCCAUUUUGAGAAUGAAUAUGAACAUAGGCAAUACUUCCGAAGAUUCUAGGAAUCGAUUUAUUAGAAAUUUCAAAAUUUGGAAAGAAAUUCCUAAGAGUAUCAAGCGGACUUUGAAAGUUUAGAAUUCUUGAUGGCAUUCUAUUACUAAGAUGUGCAGCAAUUAAGACAACUUCCCCCAAUACUGUUUUGGCACCUUUUUGUGAAACAAUAGUGAUCUAGUAAUGUCAAGUAACAAACCAUUUCUUCUCUAUGCUAUCCCAUUUUGUUGAAGAGUAUUGACACAUGAAGAUUCAUGAAUAAUUCCUUCUUUUUGGAAGAAUACAGAGAGGUUUUGAUUGAAGUAGUCUUUGGCAUUAUCGGAUCGGUAUCUUUUAAUUGACACGUCAUAUUGGGUUUUAAUCAUAUUUAAAAAGGUAGGAAGAAUUUGUCUGACAUCUAAUUUUUGCUUUAGAAAAUAGAUCCACGUAACUCGUGUACAAUAAUCAAUGAAUGACACAAACCAUCUACCACCAGAAAUAUUAGGAAUAGGAGAGGGUCCCCAAAUAUCACUAUGAAUAAGAGAGAAUGGAGUUUGAAAUGACUAAUUCGAAAGGAAAUAUGUUUGUUUUUUUGCAAUUUCACAAUCAUCACAAUGAAAAGACUCAACAUUCAAAUCUUUGAAAAAAGAUGGAAACAUCAUUUUGAUUGCAUAAAAGGAUAGGUGACCUAACCGACGAUGAUAAAGAAAUACUUUCUCUUUAUUGGACAUGGUAGAUUCAGACAAGAAAUAACUAGACAAGGAAUUCUGAGAUAUAUAUUCACCAUUGUGUAAAUCAAAACAAUAAAGACCACCUUUCUCACUAGCACGCCUAAUCAACUCCUUCGUGUUAUGAACCUGAAAUAAGCAAUAUGAAGGGAAGAAAGUUACUUGGCAUUUGGAAUCUUUUGCAAGUUUUUUGGAUAGAAAUGAGAUUUGCAUAUAACUUUGGGAUGUGAAAGACAUCUUUCAGUAUCAAGGAUUUUCCAAGUGGUAUAUCUUUUUGCCCAGCUACAAUAAUAACUGAACCAUCAGCUAUAGUUAUUUUUUUAUAGCUAGGACAAGGGGAAUAUGAUAUGAAGAGAUGAGAGAGACUGGUCAUGUGAUCAGUUGCCCCGGAAUCAACCACCCACAUUGGAGGAAGUGUGUCUGAGACAUUAGUAAUAAAAGAGUAAGAAGUACCUGUGAAGGACAAUGAACUAUUACCUGUUGAAGUUAAAUGUUGCAAAUCUCCAAUUGAAACGGUAGAGUUAUUCUCUAUAGUUGCAGAAACAUUUGUAGAGAAUGGAAUAUUUGUGGCAUUAUCAUUUUCAGACAUGGUUUGGGUAGACAAAGAUAGCAAAAUGGGAUUUUUCAAGAUAGGAUGAAUAAAAUUGGUCAGGAAUAAGCCUAAAGCUCUGAUACCAUGUGGAAAAAGAUUGUCGAAUAAUUUUAUUCAUAUCUUUGUAUGUCAUGAACAUGGAUUUACAUAUACAUAAAAGAUUGUGCAAUAGAAUCACCUAAAUUAAGAGAAAGAAUCACAUAUAUGAUAUUCUAGAUUACUACAAUUAUCCAAGAUCUUAAAGGAUCAUAUCUUGAUAUGAAAAAUAUCUUCUCAUCUUAGAGGAUCACAUAUUUUAUAACAAGAAUAUCUUCUUGAAAUCCUCUAUCAGCCAACACCACAUGUGUCCAGUGAUCUUCAAAUAGGUGAUGCUUUUACAAAAUCUAUGGCAUGACAACACCAUCAGUUUCUAGUAGGAAACUUGAUGCUUCUUAAUCCACUGGCAUCAAUUUGAGGUGGGAUGUUAGCAUGAUGGAAAUCUAAAUAAUUGUAUUUAUUAAUGUAAUUAGAUAGUGAUAUAAAUUAGUAUAAUCAUAUCGAUUUGUUGUAUAAUCAAAGGACUAAAUAUUAUGAUAAAAUAGCGGACUUGGAGGGAUUGAAUAGCAGAUUUGUAGAGAUAGAAUGGCUGGUCUUUAGGCAUAGGAAUGACGGAUCUUUAGGGAUUUGUAAUAUUUAUUCUCUCUAUAUAAUGGAAACUCACUUUAAGAGGCGUUCAGCAAAACUGACAAUGUUUUGGGAGCUCAUCCCCCAUUUCAGGUUAUACAAGGAUAUAUUCACAAAAUCUGGGGUAAACAAGGUAUAGACAAAGUGGUCAUGCUUCAGAAUAGGGUGAUAGUAGUGAGGUACAAAACUGAGGCGGGAAAGCAUGAAGUAUCACGGGGGGGGGGGGGGGGAUCUACCACUUUUAUAAUAAGCCAUUUAUUGUCAAAGAGUGAACACCAGAGAUUGAAUUCACAAAGGAGGAGCUAUCAACAGUGCCAAUAUGGAUCAAAUUUCUGGGGUUGGACUUCAAAUAUUGGAGUAUGAAAGGACUAAGUAAAAUAGGAAGACUAGUAGGUAGGCCUCUCAUGGUAAAUCGUAACACUGAGGAGAGGAGUGGGUUGAAUUUUGCAAGAAUACUGGUGGAGGUUGAGUUGGGGGCACAAUUACCAGAAGUAGUACAUAUCAAAAAUGAAAAAGGACAGCUUAUCAAACAAACAGUUCAAUAUGAUUGGAAAUCCAUACUGUGUAAAUACUGCAAGAAAUAUGGACAUAGUGAGGAAGUCUGCAGAUUGAAGAAGAAGAUUCCAAGAGAUGGGCAAAUGAAGCAAGGGACGCAACGAAUGAAAAGGGUGCCGCAACAGACUGUAGAAACUACCAUGAGACAUCAAAGCAGUAGUGAGGUCACACCAAGAAACCACAAUGAUGUUGGGAAGGAAAAAGGAAAACAAAGUGAAAAAGGAGGUACUAGUAAUGAAGGGUGGCAGGUUCCAGUGAGAACUGGAAGAACACCACAGUUGACAUCUCCAAGACACAAUCAGCAGGCUAAUGUUAAUUCAUUCCAGAUUUUACAUAGGAAGGAGGUGAAUUCGGAGAUUAGCGGCAAUGUGAGUGGACUGGCUAAUCUUGCUUUAGGGAAUGGUUAACAUCCUAAGUUGGAAAGUGAGGGGUCUUAAUGGUCCCAAUAAGCAAAGGGAAGUCCAAAUCCUUUGCAACAAUCAAAAGAUGAAUUUGAUAGGUUUAUUGGAAACAAAAAUUAAGAGGGACAAUAUAGAUGAAAUAGCUAGUAAGAUGUUUGUUGGCUGGAAAUUUGACACCAAUUUAGAUAAUCACUAUAAUGGUAGAAUUUGGGUUACAUGGAGGCCUAAUUAUUAUAGAGUUAACACUCUAAUUAAAAUUACUCAAUUGAUUACUUGUGAAGCUAUGUGUUUACCACUACAAAUCUCAUUUGAAAUCUCCUAUGUGUAUGAUUUUAACACUAUGGAGGAAAGGAAGGAGUUGUGGAAAUUUUGGUGCAACAAAGCAAAAUGUGUCGGAAACUGUGGAUGGUGCUAGGUGACUUUAAUUCUGUUUUAAAGGAGGAAGAUAGGGUAGGCGGGAAUGUUGUAGUAUGGUUGGAGGUGGAAGAUUUCCAUAAUUGUGUUAUAGCAAGUGGAUUGCUAGAAUUUCCAACGCAGGGACCUCGAUAUACAUGGAGUGAUAAACAUGCAAAUCAGAGAAAUUUUUUCAAAAAUUGAUUGGAUUUUUAUUAAUGAAGACUAGUUGAACAUUAUGUCUUCUUGUAAAUCCAUCUUCCUUCCUGAGGGCAUAAGUGAUCAUUGCCCUGCAAAAAUCACUCUAUCAGAAAUUAUUACGGCUAAGAGAUCUUUCCAAUUUUGUAAUGUGUGGGCACAACAUCCUCAGUUUUUGACAAUUAUGAAGGAAGGAUGGGUUGUACAUAUUGAGGGUUGUAUGAUGUAUAAGGUGGUGAGGAGACUUAAACAUUUAAAGCGAAGUCUAAUGGGUUACAUUCAGAAGUUUUUCAAAAUAUUGUUGUUGGAAGGCAAUACAAAUAGGGAUACUUUACAGAAAGCCCAGGAAGGUUUACAUUCUUGUCCUACAUAUGAGGCACGUCAAUAGUUAGAAUACAAGGCUUAUCACAAGUUUUGAAAUUCUUCAUAUUUGGCUGAAAUGUUCUUGCAACAACGUAGUAAAGCUACAUGGAUUAGAUUGGGAGAUGAUAACACAAGGUAUUUCCACUCUAUCAUAAAGCACAAGAAGUUACGGAGGUGCACAGAAAGGAGCUGAUCCUACCAUUUGAUCCACAUGAUAUGAAGAAGAUAGUAUUCAAGAUUAACAGAAUUUGGAGCCCAGGUCCAGAUGGUUUUGGAAGUUGUUUUUACAUUGCUGCAUGGGGCAUUGUAGGGCAAGAUGUAACUAGCGCAGUGUUAGAUUUUUUCCAAUCCAGCAAGAUUCUAAGUCAACUCAAUUCUACUAGUAUUGCUCUUGUUCCAAAGAUAGAAAGUCUUGAGUUUGCCAACCAGUUUCGACAAAUUUCAUGUUGUUAUGUCAUACAUAAGAUCAUAUUGGAAAUGAUUUGUAGUAGACUAAGGAAAGCAAUCAGUCAUAUAGUAGCAACAAAUCAAUCAGCAUUUGUCGAAGGCAGAUCUAUGAUGCAUAAUGUGCUUCUUUUCCAUGACCUAUUGAGACACAAUAAUAGGAAAAAUGCUACUCCAAGAUGCCUAAUGAAAAUAGAUUUGAGGAAAUCUUACGACAUGGUUAGUUGGGAGUUCCUAAAGGAGAUGUUGCUUGGGUUUGGGUUUCCUGGGGAGUUUGUCAAAUGGAUUAUGCUUUGUGUAACAACUCUAGAAUUUUCAGUCAAAGUGAAUGGUGAAAACCAUGGCUUAGUUAAGGGGACCCUGUAUCACCAUUACUAUUUGUGCUAGUGAUGGAAUAUUUGUCUAGAAUUCUUAACAGUAUGGAGGAUUUACCAAAAUUUAGAUUUCACCCUAUGUGUAAGAAAUUGAAGCUUACUAAUAUUAUUUUUGCGGAUGAUUUGAUGUUUUUUCUGCAAAGGUAAUAUGGAGUCUGUGAAUAGAGUUAUGGAGGCCUUAGCACACUUUACAAAGGUGUCUGGGCUGGAAGCUAAUAUGGAGAAGUCAAGCUUGUUUUUAGCUGGAGUAGACGAUGGCAUUAGAGACCAACUGUUAAUAAGGAUUGGGUUCACUGUCGGAGAAUUUCCUAUUAAAUAUUUAGGUCUACCUCUUUCUCCUAAAAAAUGGAAGUUGAUGGAUUGUCAUGCACUCAUUGCUGAAAUCACUCAAAGGAUCACUGUGACUUAUUCUAAGCAUUUGUCGUAUGUAGGUAGGCUACAAGUGAUAAAUAUUUUCUAUACAGAGUUUUUGGGGGGCAAUUUUUAUCCUUCGACAAAGUGUAUUGGAAGAAGUGGACAAAAUUUGUAGAACCUAUAUAUGUGGAGGGUCUGAGGAUAAAUGAAAGUUUACACUAGUAUCACGAGAACAAGUAUGCUUUCCAAAGAGGCAAGGAGGAUUAAGCAUUAAAGGUUGUAGUAAUUGGAAUGCUGCCUCUAUCGGACAACUUAUUUGGCAACUAAUAGUUAACAAUGAGUCAUUAUGGGUAAAAUGGGUAUUGGAAUAAACUAACUUCUCUCAAGGCACAAAUGCAUGAACGGUAUAUUCAAGACACAUAUCAACUUACAAAGGAUGGGAAGUAUUCUAUUACAAUUAGCUACUUGGCAAUCAUAGGUCAGAGACCAAAAUUGAAGAAUGCAGAAUUAAUAUGGAACUCUAUGGCCUUUCCUAGGAAAAGAUUUUUGGUAUGGUUGGUUGUACACGGUAGGCUUCUAACAUAAGAGAAGAAAAUAAGGCUCCAAAUUCAAGAUGAUGAGACUGAUUGUUGCCUAUGUGAUGAACAAGUGAUAGAGACUAAUUCUCACUUGUUUGAGCAUUGUAAAUGGAUUAAAAAAGUAUGGCUUGAGAUACAGAAAUUGACAGGGGUAAGGGUUUCUACUGGAGGUAUACAUCAAAUCUUGGAAAACAUCAAGAAGAAGCAUUGGAGGAAAUUUUAAGGAGGUUAUAACAGCUUGCUAUGGAGCUGCGCUUUAUCAUACUUGGCGUGCUAGAAACUGGAAGAAAUUUAGAAAUAAGUAUGUAUAUAUUAUAGAGGUUGUCGCACAGAUAAAAAAAGGAGAUAGGGGAGAGAAUACGUUUACUUUGUAAAACUAAGAGAGCACAGACUUGUAGAUUUUUUAUUAGAGAACUAGAGAUGUAAUUAGUUGUUUGUUUUGUUGGAGGCCUCAUUUCUGCUAAUAGAAAUAAGGUGAUCCUUAGUUGUAAUUGGUUUUGAUGGUUAUGGUAAUCUUUUACAGUUGUUACCAAAAAAAAAAGAUAGUCAAGUAGAAUAUAGUGUGAAAUUCUAUCAAUUUUUCAUGUCACAAUUGUCUCUCGCUUUACCAUCUUUGCCGCUCAACUAAGGGGUUUUAGUCCGAAACAUUUCACUACAACUACUUCUGAAAUGUUGUCAAAAUAAGAAACAAUGGUGCGAAAAUAGCUUUUUUGUACAAGUUAUAUAUGGUCCCAACCUUAAAAAUUGUUGCAUGUCCUGUUUGAGUUUGAUAAAUUGUGAAUCGAAGAAGGAUCAAGAAACUUAGUUUGCUGGAGAAAAUAUUUCUAUUAGGAGUACUACUUAAGCUCACCAUUUUUUUGUUGUUUUGGAAACAAAAAUUGAGCAACUUGAAGCAUUUGGAUCUCAUGAUUAGCUGUGAAUUAAGAAAAACCCCUAAUUUUGGUGAUAUACCAAACUUGGAGACACUAAAUUUACACGGGUGUGUGAAUUUGAAAGAUGUCCAUCCCUCUUUUGAACAUUGCAGACUGCUUACUUAUUUGAGUUUGGAAGGUUGUCACAAAGUUAAGAAGCUUCCAAAAUUUGUCUGCAUGGAAUUUCUUGAGACUCUCAAUUAACUUGAAUGCAAAGCUUAGAAGAAUUUCCAGAAAUCUGUGGAGAUAUGCCGUGCUUAUCGGUAUUCUAUGUAAAAUCCACGUGGAUAAGAAACUUACCUCCAUAUUUCAGUAGCCUUAGCAAUUUGCAAUUGAUUGAGUGUGAAGUUCUUGAAAAUUUUCCAGACGCUAGUCAAAAUCUUAGAUAUCUCCGUAUUUCAGGUUGUAAUAAACCAAUGUUCUGGAUUGGUAAAUCUCCCCAUAUCUCUUGGAGUUCAAAAGAAGCUCCAAUUUUUAGAAAUAGAUAGAUGUGAGAACUUAAAGAAGCUUCCAAGCUCGAUUCAGAUGAAAUCCCUUCAAAAGCUCAAGAUAUCUAAUUCCCCAAAAUUAGAUACAUUUCCAGAAAUUGACGGAGAUAUGCAUUACUUGACACUGCUGACUCUGAUUUUUACUAGGAUAAGAGAAGUGCCUUCAUCCAUUGGGCAUCUAAGAGGACUCGAAUAUCUCUAUCUGUCAGGUUGUAAGAUCUUCUAAGUCUACCAGAUUGCCUCUGCAAUUUGAUGAAACUUCGAAGUCUUUAUCUCGAUGGGUGCAGAAAGCUAGAGAAACUUCCAGAAAACAUUGGUGAUUUGCAAGAUUUACAUAUGCUUGAUGCGAGCGAAGCUGCAAUCUCCCAACCACCUCCCUCCAUCACUAAGCUUGGAAAACUGUGGAGGUUACGAUUCUCACAUGAACAACAAUUUUAACAUUCCUCAAGUUUUGUCUUGAAUCAAGUAUCAGGUCUAUCAUCCUUGACAUCACUUGAUAUUAAUAAUCACAACAUCUUGAGUGGACUUCAUGAGGAUUUAGGAUCUUUACACUCUUUGGAAAAUUUGAACGUAAGUGGAAGCAAUAUUUCUUGUUUACCAAAAAACGUCAAAGGACUCUUACACCUUCAGCAUCUGAACGUACAAUUCUGUCAGAAUCUUAUUGAACUGCCAAGAGAGCUACCCCAAAAUUUAAGGGAGCUAUUUGCAGAUUAUCAUCUAGCCUUGAAUAGUAGCAAAAAUCUCGUAAUUUGUUAUCUUAAGAUGUGUAGGCUCGUAAUAUCCGACCAUGGAACUUUCUCGAGUGAACAUAUUAAUGUGUUCCUAUAACAUUUUCUUAGGAAAUACAUCCAGGUUUUGAUCUAUCCCACACAUAUAUGAAUGUUGAAUAUAUAUUCUCAUUAAAUUGAUUUCUAGCAGUAAUAAUAAUUUUCUAUUGCAUGCAGUGUGACUUCCACCAAAGGGCUUGUUUUAUAAUUUCUUUUCCCGGAGUCAAAAUUCCAGAGUUGUUCAAUUAUGACCGGUUUAUAAAUCAAAAUGUAAUCUUAAUUGAGUUGAACCCAUCUUGGUAUAGUGAUAAAUUCAUGGAUUUUUGGAUAAGUUACGGUCCUACUAGACUGGACGCAGGAUUAGAAGCUACAUUGGUCUGCAAGUGUGACCCUGAAAGAAAUUAUUCCUUGGAGUAUAGCUACAUCUUGAAUAUUCUAUGUUUGAGGAUCGUUUCAUUUGUUGUACCUACAUACCAUUUGAAACAUUGUGGCAUGCUUCUGAAAAUAAAGAAGAGAAGAACCCAAAUGAUUAUUACAUGUUGGAGAGAUCUGGGGAAGAAGUAUAUUGGGGAAUUCGCCUGGAGUAUGAAAAGGAAGCAAUGAUUGAUGCAAAGGUCUGUUUAUGACUUGUUUUACAUCACAAAUUUCAAAUAUUUUUCUGUCUUUCUUAAAUUUGUAUCAUAAAAAAAAUGGUAUGGAAAGUGUAUGUUCUACAUUGUUGGUACCCUUCUCAAAUGGUAUGGAAUUUGCAUCGAUGAUAGAUGGAUGAAAUUUUUAUUUAUAAUGUUGAUGUUUGAGUGCGAAACAAUUUUUCUACCUUUACUAGGUAAGAGUAAAGUUGCAUACGCACCAUCUUCCUAAGAUCCUCUGGAGAGGCAUUUUUAGUGCCCUUUAACUUGGCUUUAAAUUAUAUUUUUGUAUUUCAACUUUGGAUGUGCACAAAUAGACACUUAAACUUGUAUAAAGUUAAACAAAUAGACACACAUAUUCCACAUGUCAUCCUACAUGUCAUUUUUUGUCCUACGUAGUGUCCUACAUGUAUUGUGACAUGUAGGACUCAUGUGUUUAUUUAUUUAAAAGUUGAAUAGUGAAAGUGUCUGUUUGUGCAUUAUGGAAGCUGAAGGUCAAAGUUAAAAUUUGAAGUCAAGUUUAGGGUCUAAUAUAUAUAUUAUGCCUAAUAACAAUUGAGUCAUAGAAUUUUUGUAUAUAUAAUGUAAAUGGAUGUUCCAUUAUGAGUUGAGAAAAUUUGUGUAGCUCAAUAUAUUCUUUUUAAAUUUACAUAAACACUUCAAAACUAUUCUGAAUCCAAACAGGCUCUAAUUAUAUACCUCAAUAGUUAGCUUUUGGGUGUGGUUCUCCCAGGUCAGUCUUUCUUUUCUGUUUUUUCUUCUAAAUUAUUACGAAAUUUUUCUUUAAUUUCUGGACAAUUCCUUAGGCAGGGCAAUAAAUUUAUAUCGAUUUGGUGUUCAUGUGUUUAAUUAAAAGGGAUAAUUAUAUGUCAUGAAUAGGAAGAUGAUAACAAGUUUACUACGAGUUUAAGGGUUAAUUUAGCAAAGUGAUAAGUAGAAGGGUUCAACUGACAAAUGGAGCCAAGUACAGGGAACUUCUUCCCCACGGGUGCAAAUGGAUCAAGAAGAUCAAGAGGUUAAACAAGCUCUGCGUUGUACCCAACGUGGAAAUUGUCAAAACGAAGCCAAAAAAAUGUACUAGUAUUUUAUUUUUAUUAAAUUUAUAUCACACUAAUUGCUUUUUCUAUCCGAUAAUAAUUAUCCGCGGUACUAUUUUAAAAUGUCCAAUCAUAUUUAUCUACGUUAUGAAAUCAAUAAGUAAUUUUUUACUUACACAAUUAUAGCCACUUUGAAAAUUGCGAAAGGGAAAAAGAAAGUCAAAGAAAUUUCCAUGUGUUGUACUAUUAGGGAUAAUGCACAAGUACUACCUCAACUUAUGUUCAAAAUCUCACAGACACUUAUACUAUACUAAGGUGGUAUUAUUACUCCCUGAACUUAUUUUAUUAAUAAUUUUUUUACCUCUUUUCAGCCUAUGUGGCACUGUUUUAUGGGCCCAACGCUGGUUGAUUUUUUUUUAAGUUAGUGUCACAUAGGCCGAAAAGGGGUAGAAAAUUACUUAUAAAAUAAAUUCAAGGGUAAUAAGACCUUAGUGUAAUAUAAGUGUGUCUUUGAGAUUUCGAGCAUAGAUUGAGGGGUACUUGUGCAUUUUCCAAGGGAAUUGCGGUUUGAAUAAGUGGAAACUCUGCAGAGGAGUAGCUUCAGACGUUGGGGUUAUAUUCUGGCAAGCAUCUUGAGAAAAGGGGGACCAAAUGAAAUUUCCUUGUUGUCAAUUGGAAUCAAAGUAUCUAAACAGAGCUUUGAGCCUCUUAUCAAUUCCCUUAUAGAAAGCAAAUGGUUGAUCCGCGGUAGACAGGAAAGUAGAUCCAUUGACCUUGAUGGGUGCCCAGAAUUGAAACAGACAAAUAUUUGAAGUCCACAUUUUCUCCAUAGCAAAUAGGAUCCUCCAAUUCUCAUUUGGAAAGAUGGAAACAACAUAAUAAGCUGGAGUUAUAAAAAGGGUUAGAAAGUGCUAAACUAAACAAAAUUAAAAUUGGAAAAUAUUCACAACAGACUCUCAAGAAAAAGAGUUAAUGGGAAGAUUGCUGGUACUCCAACUUGUCAUUGUGUUUUCUGCUCCAAAAUGCCCAGCCAUUGCCAUUAUCACUGAGUUCCAGUUGAGACCAGUCCAGUUUACAAGGCAUUACCUCACAUACCUCUGAAGGUUCAUCAACAACAAGAUGCUCCAUACUAUACUAUACAAAUACAAUUUCACUAUCGCUUUGCUGCUUAUAUACAAGGAAGGAUUGUGGAUCAACUAUUCAAAAGUCAUCCAGAAACUACUAUUAUUUUCAUCCACAAUUCUCCAUUUAUAUUAUCACACUAAUUAAAUAAUUUAUCCGUUCCAUUUUAUAUAUAACAUUUUUAUUUUGUACUUGCGUUAUAAACUAAUACUUUCUUCGUUUCAAAAAGAAUGACCUAGUUUGACUUGGAACAAAGUUUAAGAAAAUAAAUAAGAUUUUUUAAUCUUGUGGUUCUAAAUUAAAGUUAUGCCAAAUGUACCAAAUGUCCUUUAAUCUUGUGGUCUUAAACAUGUCACGUGAAAAGUUAAAUUAAAGUGUUGCAAAAAAAGGAAAGGGAUUAUUCUGAAACAGACUAAAAAGAAAAUAGGGUCAUUCUUUUUAAAACUGAGGGAAUAUAACUUUAUCCUUCUUUUCUUAUUUAGUGUUUUCUUAAAUCAGCAAAAUAUAAUAAUUUAUACUUCCUCCGUUUCAAAAAGGAUGGCCUAAUUUGACUUGGACGGAGUUUAAGAAAAGAAAGAUAACUUUUUUAGUCUUGUGGUUCUAAAUUAAAGUUAUGUCAAAUGUACCAAAAUGCCCUUUAAUCUUGUGGUCUUAAGCAUGUCAUGUGGAAAAUUAAAGUUAAAGUGUUGUCAAAAAAGAAAAGGGAUCAUUUUUUUAAAACAAACUAGAAAGGAAAUAGGGUCAUUCUUUUUUAAACGGCGGAGUACAUAAAGUUUAUAAAAUGAUAAAUAUUGUGGUCCAACUAUUUAUAAAAAGAGACGACAUAUUAUUUCUUCCGUUUCAAAAACAAUGACAUAGUUUGAUUUAACACAAAAUAUAUCAAAAAAUUAAAAAACUUUUAUUCUUUUUGAUCCUAAAUUAAAGUCAUAUCAAAUACAUUUAAGAUAAUUCUUUUGUAAGCAUACUAAAAAAAUAAUUCCUUUAUUUAGAGGGAAACGAUGCAAAUGGAUUAAGAAGCUCAAGUGGUUCAACAAGCUCCAAAUUGUCAAAACGAAGGCAAAAUAUCGUACUACUAUUUAUUUUUUAUUUAAUUUACAGGAAAGGGUUAUAUUGUGAAAUUAAUAGAAAUAUAUUUUGUUUAUAAUAUAGUUUUAAAAUAUUUUUAUCAUCAAUAUUUUGAUUUUAAAAUUUCCUUAGUAUUAUCUCUAAAGAACCUUAUUCUUAUUUUCUUUCUUUUACAGUUAGGGGUUAUGAAAUGAUUUUUAGGAGCUUUUGCAAAUAGUCAUCAAAAUAAAUUUAAUAAUAUUUAAUAGUUAUAGUUUGCAUAUUUAUGGGUAGUAACUACAGUUUAAGCAAUCUCUUUGUAUAAUUUACAGGUUUGUAUAAUUUGCGGGUACAUUUGUAUAAUUCAGUUAUUUUUAUAAAAGUCAAAAAAACGAAUUUAUACAAUUACAAACAUCACAAGUGUAAACAAUUAUAUAAAUUAUAUUAUACAAAUUUUGAAUAUCACGCAGAUCUGGUGACAAAGAAUUUAGAAUCCAAGUUGUGACCAUAUCAUCACACCUUUCCCAUUGCUGAAGCUAAAAUUAGUAGGAUCGGGUCUCACAACAUUCCCAUUCAUGAGCAUUUCGAUUUUCUACUAUUCCUAGUCCUUAAAGAAGGUACUUGUGCCCUUAGGGGAUGGUUUGACUUCAUCCUUAUCAUGAUCUAAAAAUCUAGUGACACCUGCCUUAUCCCAUCAAUACAUGUUAACUUAAACAAUCCUUGACAAGGGCAAUAACAAAAGUAAGAAAGAAAUCAAGAACAAAACAUAACAUAAUAAUGCAAAACUCUUAAUAUAACACAGUUUUCCCCCAAAAUCUAGUGUCACGUGUACAAGCCUCUAAAUAAUACAACAGAUUUAAAAGAAGUACAAGUAUACAAUAAUGAGAUAGUAGAAAGACAUAAUCAAGAGUAUGUGAUAACUGUUGAGAUGAUCACGAACGUCUCCAAAGGUAAGUCUUAAUAAAGAUGUGAGAGGACGAUCAAGAUGAUUCAGACUCGUAACCUACACAAGUAUGGAGAGAAAGGGAGUAAAUACCAAAUAAUAACGUUACUCAGCAAGCAUUCCUAGCUAACACUAAGUAAAGUGAUAUCGAACACAAGCACUCCGUCACACUUUCUAAACCUCUUCAAACUAAAAUUACUAUAGUAUUUAGAACCAACUCAUCCUAACAGUUUUACAAGUAACGGAGCAACACGUUACAUGUAAUACACAGUUAUAUCACAUAUCAGAGUCUCUAUAGUAUCACCGUAACCUGUCACAUCUAGAUAGCCAUGAAAUAACAACUCACUCAUAAAAGACAAGAAUGACAAUGAGGAGUGAAUACAAUGCAAUGCAAUGUCAUAUAAAAUGAAGCAUGUCUGUUCAGUUGAUACACAUUGGCUAACUAGUAUCUGUGACACAUACAGAACCUGUAUGUUCAUGCAUUCACUACAAAAGUGCUAACUAGGAGCUCAGGACCUACAAACGACAUAUUAGUACAUACAUCCGUUAAAUGCAUUUUUUACCAGUAUAAACAUCAAUCACCAAAACAAUUUUCCAUCGAUAUUACAUUAUUCACCAAAAUCAUUUUUCAUAAGCAUAAAAAUCAAUUGCCAAAAUUAUUUUUCAUCAACAUAUCACGAAUUCAAAUUCCACGAUAGUGUUUUAGAUUCAAUACAAAUAAGCAUGUUCACAUGUAUAAUAAGAAGAUGAUAACUUUCACAUCAAUAAUCAAUCCACACACACAAUUAUGACACAUCAUCAAAAGUGAGUCAAGAUAAUCAUUCAAGCUACUCGUGGCACAUCACACAAUAUUAUAUGUACCAUUCAUUUUUCCCCAAGUAAUCAUAACAAAUAUUUAGACAAUGUAAUAACAAGCACUCCUUUGUCUUAAUUUAUAUGACUUUCUUUCCUUUUUAUUUAGUCCAAAAGAGAAUAACACAUUUCUAUAUUAAAUAACAAUUUAACUCUAAAAUGUAUAUUUUACGCUUAAUGAAAUGAUUUACAACCACACAAAUUUCUAUCAUUCAUUUUGAACCAUAAGUUUUAAAAAUCUUUAUUUCUUUCUUUAACUUCGUAUCCAGUCAAACUACCUCACGUAAAAUAGGAUAUAUUAGUACAUGCAUCCGUUGAAUGCAUUUUUUACCAGUAUAAACAUCAAUCGCCAAAAUCAUUUUCCAUCGAUAUAAACAUUAUUCGCCGAAAUCAUUUUUCAUAAGCAUAAACAUCAAUUGUCGAAAUUAUUUUUCAUCAACAUAUCACGAAUUCAAAUCCCACGAUAGUGUUUCAGAUUCAAUACAAAUAAGCAUGUUCACAUGUAUAAUAAGAAGAUGAUAAAUUUCAUAUCAAUAACCAAUCCACACACACAAUUAUGACACAUCAUCAAAAGUGAGUCAAGAUAAUCAUUCAAGCUACUCGUGGCACAUCACACAAUAUUAUAUCUACCAUUCAUUUUUCCCCAGGUGAUCAUAACAAAUAUUCAGACAAUUUAAUAACAAGCACUCCUUUGUCUUAAUUUAUAUGACUUUCUUUCCUUUUUAGUCAGUCCAAAAGAGAAUGACACAUUUCUAUAUUAAAUAACAAUUUAACUCUAAGAUGUAUAUUUUAUGCUUAAUGAAAUGAUUUACAACCACACAAAUUUCUAUCAUUCAUUUUGAACCAUAAAUUUUGAAAGUCUUUAUUUCUUUCUUAAACUUCUUAUCUAGUCAAACUACCUCACGUAAAAUGGGAUAUAUUAGUACAUGCAUCCGUUGAAUGCAUUUUUUUACCGGUAUAAACAUCAAUCACCAAAACCAUUUUCCAUCGAUAUAAACAUUAUUAGCCUAAAUCAUUUUUCAUAAGCAUAAACAUCAAUUGCCGAAAUUAUUUUUCAUCAACAUAUCACGAAUUCAAAUCCCACGAUAGUGUUUCAGAUUCAAUACAAAUAAGCAUGUUCACAUGUAUAAUAAGAAGAUGAUAAAUUUCACAUCAAUAACCAAUUCACACACACAAUUAUGACACAUCAUCAAAAGUGAGUCAAGAUAAUCAUUCAAGCUACUCGUGGCACACCACACAAUAUUAUAUCUACCAUUCAUUUUUUCCCACGUGAUCAUAACAAAUAUUCAGACAAUUUAAUAACAAGCACUCCUUUGUCUUAAUUUAUGACUUUCUUUCCUUUUUAGUUAGUCCAAAAGAGAAUGACACAUUUCUAUAUUAAAUAAUAAUUUAACUUUAAGAUGUAUAUUUUACGCUUAAUGAAAUGAUUUACAACUACACAAAUUUCUAUCAUUCAUUUUGAACCAUAAGUUUUAAAAGCCUUUAUUUAUUUCUUAAACUUCGUAUCCAGUCAAACUACCUCACGUCAAAUAGAAUAGAGAGAGUAUAAUAUAAGAAGACCUUCACCAUUCCCCAUUACUCCAAAGUACACAACGAAACAUAGAAGGUUCAAUAUACUUUCAAAGGGUUAAAAAGGUUCACUUACCUUAAAAAGGAAAGAAAUCAACUUGGUACUAUUCAUGUCAAUUUUUUUAAUUUUCAAACGUCUAUCUCUUCAUAUCAAUUUAUUUUAAUGUGUUCAAAUUUAAAUUAAUGUGAGCUAUUUUUAAAUUUAGAUGACCCGUUUAUUUUCCACCUCUAAAUAUAGUCAAAAGUUUAGUUUGUGGACAAGUGUAAAUGGAUCAAAAGCUCAAAAGUUACAAACACACUUAGCUUUUUUUUUUUUUUGGUUGUUGUUGGAAAUUGUACAUUUUCCCAUGUUGUAGUCCUCUGGAAAUUGUCAAAGGUAAAACGGAAGGCAAUAAAUUGGGAAGUUAGUACCGUUUUUUCUUAUUGAAUUUAAAUAAUAUCAUCCAUAAUACUACAGUCUACAAGGUUAGCAUUUUUUACUAGUUUUACAUUACAAUGUCUAUUUACACGUAGUGGCCUUGAAGCCGGGGGGACACAAAAUAUGGCUACCAUUAAUUGGUGGUUCCAUAUUACAAAAGGUGGAAGUAAAAUAUAUUAAUAUUAAGGGAAAAUGCACAAGUAUUUCCUCUAUUUAUGUCCGAAAUUCUAGAGACAUAUUUAUAUUAUGCUAAUGUCCUAUUGUCACAUCUCUUUUUUUCUCUCAAAUAUUUUUUUUUAUUUUUCGAAAGAAAAGAGUUUUUCCAAUUAAAGUGACAUUUUGAAAAGUGAUAAUUAUUAUACAGAGUCGCCACUUGGAAUUGAGUUUUGGUGUUCCAAGUCAUCUUAUUUAAAUCCCUAAUCAAAAGGAAAUUUGACUCUAUUUUUUAUUGGUCUGCAAACUAGAAAUUCGGGUAAGGAUUUCUGUUGACCGAGGGGAAGGUGUUAGGCACCCCUCGAAUCCCGUGGUUCUAGCACGGUCGCUUUAUUAACUUUGAUAUGACUUGACUUAAUUUUGGAUAUUAUAUUUUUUAAACUUAUUGAUAAAUUUUUAUUUACCCAAAUUUAUUGGUUAACUUAUUUGAAACUGACUAAUUUAUUUGAAAUGAUUUUUUUUUCAGGGUAUGUCCAUUUAUUUUUAAAUACCUAAUAUUUUGAAAGUAAAAUUUAUGUAGGAAAGAGAUUUUAGUGUUUGAGUAAUUUUAGUAUUAUUUCUUUUUUAGUUACAUUUUUGAAUAAGAGGUAAAAUUUUAAGAGAUUUACUAUUAUUUUUACAAGAAAAAAUUUGAUUAUUUUUUAAUAAAGUAAUAAUUUUUAAUUUUGGUUGACAUUCUUUUAAACUCACUCUUUUAUCUUUCUUUCUUUUUUACUUUAUUGUUAUAAAAAAAACUUACGUGUUUGUUAACUUUUUCAUUAUUAUUUAUUUCUAUUUUCCUUUCAUUCUUUUUUUUUUUUAACUUUCUGCUUUAUUAACUUUUUUAUUGUAUUGUUAUUUUAUAAAAUUUGUCUUCUUCUCCUUUUUUUUUUAUAAUUUUUGUUACUCUUUUUCACGUUCUUUUUUUAUUCUUUUUUUUUAUUUCUCCUUCUUUUCUUUUCUUUUCGUUUUUUUUUCUUUCUUUUACACGUUUUUUUUUAAAUUUUUUUUCACGUUUUGAUUUUAUCAAUAUUAUGUUUUAUAUUUUUUCAUUUUUUAUUUUUCUUCUAAUUAUUUUUUUUAUUUUAUUUUAUUUUAAUACGUUUUUUAUGUUCUUCUAUCUUUCUUUUUUUUUUCUUUAACUUUCUGUUUUAUUAAUUUUAUAUUUUUAGUUUAUAAUUUACUUAUUCUUCUUAUCUUAUCUUUUCUUCUUCUUUUUUUUAUACGUUUUCCUAUUAUUUUUUUCUCUGAUUCUUUCUUCUUCUUUUUUAUUUUCUUUAUUUUUACAAUCUAUUUCUUCUAAUUUUUGGUUAUGUUUUUUUCAUUCUACUUCUCUUUUCUUUUUAUUUUUUGAUUUUUUCAUUUUUUACAUAUUUUUCUUUUUAUUUUAUUUUUAAAAAAAAGAUUCUGUUAUUUUUUUUCGCUGUUUUUUUUUGUUUUCUUGUUUGUUUGUUUUUUGUUUUUUUAUUUAUUCUUUUGUUCUCUUUAUACAAUUUUUCAAAAUUUUACUUUUGUUAUUGUUAAAAUUAUAUUUAUUAAUAUUAAUUAUCACUAUUUCAUCAUGAAUCUCUAGAUGAAAUUUAUUUCUCUUUUUAAUUAACAAUUCUAUUUAGAUAAUUUUUGUUUUUGAAAAAUCAUUUAUUAAUUAUUUUUAUAUUUUAAUCUAACAAGUUAACAAUAAAUUUAACAAAAUUCUAAAGUGAAAAACUAAACGGAAAAAUAUAUGAAUCUAAUCAAAUUUAUCAAUUCAAUAUCAUGAAGAGAUAUAAAUUACAAAGUGUAUCUAAAAAGCAUAAUAAUAACAAUAAUAAUAAUGUAACAAUAAUAAAUAUGAUACAUGCGAUUUGAAGAAUUUCAUACUAUUGGAAUCUAAUUUUCAUACAAGUAAUAUUAUUUAAAUCACGCGAGAAUUUAUAAUUACCUCGCUGCGAAAUUUCAUACCACAAAAACAAGCUUUCUACGAAUUUGGAACCAAGAGGAAAACCUCUAACUCUAACCUAAUUCUCAAAAGAAUAACUCACUUUUCUUCUCUUUGCUUUUUUUUCUCUCUGUAUUUCAAUCUGCCUUUGUGUGUUUUUAACAUCUCUCUGUAUCUGUAUAUUUUUAUAAUUCUUUUGACUAAGAGUUUGGUGCUAAAUAAAAGGAACGUAAUAGAGUUGAAUUAGGAUUUAAUUUGAAAUAUUGUUGAGGAAAUUGGGGUUGAUGAUAAGGAUAUAAAAUAAAUAAAUAAAUAAUAAUAGUAGAAAUUAACAAAAAAAAAUAAAAAAAAUGUUUAAACUAAACGUGCAAAGAGAGAGACAGAGAAAAAAUGAAAAAAAAUAAAUGAAUAAAUAAAUGGGAUGAGAUUUUUUAGUAAAAUAAGUUAGGAAGUUGAGAAUAAUUAGGAUAAAGGGGAGGUAAUUUGAAUAUUUAGGACUCCCUUUUUCUUUUCUUCUACCAUUAUUUUUAAAGUAAUUAAAAGUUGAAGAUUUAAAACAAAUACCAUAAAUUCAUAAUUUUUUAUUAUUAUUAAAGUAAUUUACACAAUUUAUUUAUUUUUAUUUAUUUUAAAUAUAACCUUUUUUAAAAAAAUUGGUGUUAAAUCUUUAUAUUUUGGUAAAAAAACUAGGUGUUCACAGUAUGCCCCUCUUUGCUUGAAAACAUGAAGAGUUUUCAUGCAAAGACGUGAACAACGUGACUAAUUUUUUACUGAAAUAUUUAUGUGAAAAAUUUAUAGUAGAGAAGAGGUUUGACUGUGUCCUAACUUUUAAAAAUAUCCUAUGUUGAGAUGAUAAGGAGUCAGGCGUAGUUCCAAUGAGUUAGGUAGUCGAGUGAGGUUUUGUCGAGAUUCCGGUUCGUAGCUCCAGCUAUUACAAAAAAAAAUGCAAAAGAAAAGAUAUGAAAUCCUAUCUACUCCGAUAGUGCUAAGUCUUCAUUUUGGAUUCUCAGAUAUCGCUUCACCCUCUUAGGUAGGUUCAUCGAUUCCCGCCCUUUGCUCUAGACAUCUGAGUUUAAGACAUGAAAUUUCAUGACUUGACUUCAGCUACUGACAUUCUUCCGUAUGAUAUUCUUGAAAACUUAUUUUGCUUGAAAUGAUGAAUUCUUUUAUUUUUGAACUGCAAAUUUGUGUACUAUGUAGAAACCUGCACACAAAAGGAAAUUUAAUACCCAAAUUGCAAUCCAGGGGUUAUUGUGCCCUGUGAAGACAUGAAAAAAAAUUAUAGGGGUUAUUGUGCCCUAUAUGCAACCAGGGGUUAUUGUGCCCUGUGAAGACAUGAAAAAAAAAAGAUAGGGGUUAUUGUGCCCUAUAUGCAACCAGGCGUUAUUGUGCCCUGUGAAGACAUGAAAAAUAAAAUGAUAGGGGUUAUUGGGCCCUAUAUGCAAUCCAAGGGUUAUUAUGCCCUGUGAAGACAUGACAAUAGGAUAGGGGUUAUUGUUCCCUAUAUGCAACCAGGGGUAUUGUGCCCCGUGAAGACAUGAAAAAUAAAAUGAUAGGGGUUAUUGUGCCCUAUAUGCAAUCCAGGGGUUAUUGUGCCCUGUGAAGACAUGAAAAUAGGAUAGGGGUUAUUGUGCCCUAUAUGCAACCAGGGGUUAUUGUGCCCUGUGAAGACAUGAAAAAAAAUGAUAGGGGUUAUUGUGCCCUAUAUGCAAUUCAAGGGUUAUUGUGUCCCGUGAAGACAUGAAAAUAUAGGAUAGCGGUUAUUGUGCCCUAUACGCAACCAGGGGUUAUUGUGCCCUGUGAAGACAUGAAAACUAAAAUAGGGGUUAUUGUGCCCUAUAUGCAACCAGGGGUUAUUGUGCCCUGCAAAGAGAUAAAAAAUGAUAGGGGUUAUUAUGACCUAUAUGCAAUUCAGGGGUUAUUGUAACCUCUGAAGACAUGAAAAAUAAAAUAGGGGUUAUUUUUUUACUUAUAUUAUUAUUUAAUAUUACUUUAUUUUUAUUAGUACAUUGAUCAAUUUAAAAAUAAAAUAAAAUACCCCAGAUUUUAUUAAGAAAAAAAAAUAUUUUUUUAAAUUUUGCAUAUUAUAUGAGAGACAAGGAUUCAAAAAUUUACCAUCGCGGCAUUUGUUUCUAGCGAAUUACUUGCAUUAUUUGUCUUUAUAGCUCUUUCAGCCUAUAACUUUAUUUCUAUCUUUAUUGUACUCAUGCCAAGACGGAAUGUCAUCAUUUGAUAAAUGGUGUUAUUCGUGAUUUUUUACCAAGUAGAUAUUCUUAUUUUUUUUACUGUCGUCUUAUGUUUCUCUCGAGAAUUUUCACUCAUAAGACCCUCUUAUUUUUUUAAUUUUUAAUUUUUUAUUUUUUUCUAUAACAUACCAUAGGAUACAAUGUCAUGUUUCAACCUUUGUAGAUUUUAAAUAGCAUGAUCAUUAUUUUAUUGAGUGAUUAGACCGAACCUCAAUGAAGGGCUGCCUACGUAUCCUCUUAGAAAUCAGGUCGAACAUAGUUCAAUAAAAAAAUAUUUUUUUUAUUUAUGUUUAGAAAUAUAAUGGAAAAAUUGAAAAAAUAAUUAGUUCAUGUUUGAUAAUGCUUUGACUUUAGUUGGUACCAACAAUUAGUAUUAUGCAUAUGAACUACAUUCAACGACUUUCAAAUAAGUUUGAGGUCAACUUUGAGUAAUUUAUAUUGUUUCAAAUUGUAUCUCAAAUAUAUUUAAGUAAUUAUAAGAUCAAUUUAUCUUGUCAAAAUUAAGGGAUAGAAUUAUUCGUAUCCUCAUGUUUCAAAUGCACUCUCAAUAUAUGAAAGUCCUACUUCACACAAUACAAUAAUUUAGAUCGUUGGACAUUUUUGAAAGUCACUCCCACUCAGAAAGAUAUUCAAUGCAUGAGAUUAAGAUACCAUAUGAGUGACUCUCAUGUAAGCAUCCACUAAUAUGAGAACAUAAAAAAUGAGAUCAAAUAGGACUUGUCAUUGGUUUGUAAUGUAGUCUUAGGGAAAGGUAGAAUAUUCAUUUGAGAUAAAGUGACUAUUUCCUCCUUAGAAUUCGCACUAUACUUUUGAUAUUUUUUUUUGUUUUUGCAUUUGACCUUUGUUUCUUGUAAGGUCUUUUACAUUUUUUUUUUCUCUCUUCAUUUUUUUGAUCUUCUCUCCUUUUUGUUGGAAUCUUUUUUUUCAUUUUUCAUUCUAUCUUUUUUUUUGGACAUAUUUGAUUUUUUUCACUUUGUUACCCAACUUAGGUCUUUAAUGUUAUAUAGAUAUUUCAUAGUGCGUUCAAGGAGGUGAGAUAAAGGGAUUAGUGCAUUUUUACACUCAAAAGGUAUAUAUGCUAAGAUGUGGUUAUUCAAAUAAAAAGCUUUCAGGGUCGAAAUGGGAGUUCUGUUGAUAAAUGUCAUUCGGUAGGCUUGAAAGACACAAUCGAUUCAAAGAAAGCCUAUAAUCCUUUCUCAAGUUAAAUGUUGCUCAAAAUUUCAUCUCAACCAACAUUCGGGCCAAGUUCUAGAUCAACAAAAUCAUGACUUUGAAUUUUACGUCGUAAAGCUCACCACGCAAUGCAUUUGAAACAAUGAGGUAAAAUUUAUUUUAUCAAUAACUUUAAACAAGAUAAUUUCUCAAGUAUGACAUAAAUGUAUUGAGAGAUGUCAAUAGAAGUCUAUAGUUCACAACAAAGUUGAUAUGUCUUACCAAAUAGUUUAACACUUUAUUUUUUUUUCUUAUGCAUAAUCCUAAGCAUGUUGUUACCAACCAAGUCAAAGAAAAAAAAUCUAUUUUUUUGCCCCAGUUUACGUGACUAGAAUUUUUAGGAUUUUUUUUCCUCGGUUGGACUAAACCUUACAAUAAGGUUGCCUACGUAUCUUGUUAAACAAGAAUCAGGUCUAACGUAGUUCCAAAAUAUAAGUAAAAAUAUGUUUUCUUAAAGACAAAUUUCCUUUUUAAUAUAUACACAAAUUAUUUCAUUUUUUAAUUUUUAAAUAAUAAUUUUUUAAUUUUUUAAUUUUUAAAUAAGGAUCACCGAACCAAAGGAAGGUUGCCUACGUAUCUCAUCAAGGUGAGAAUCAGGUGUGCGUAGUUCGUUCAGAUUGAACGUUUAAAUAAUUUUUGUUUGAAAUUUGUUGACAAAUGCAACUCUUUUCUUCUUUUAAAGUGAUAUAAGAAAACUUUUAAAAUUUCUUAUAUGUACAAUUUAAAAGACAUAUAUACAUAUAUUAUUAAUAUUAUUAUAUUUAUUAUUUAUGUAUUAUUUUAAUAAAAGUGAAAAAUAAAAUUGAGGAUUAGGAGGUGUGUAUGUAUAUAUAUGUGUACUAAUUUGUUUAUUUUGAAUCAUUGGUUGAAAAUGGGUAGAAAAUAGAUAUUUAUUUCUUUAGUCGAUUAUCCUAAAACCGAUCAACAUUUUGUUAUAGUCUUCAUAUGAUGCAACAAGUAGCAUAAAAAUUCACAUGAUGAUCUCAUGAAUAAAUAUCUGUCCUAGUCAAAUUGGGCCCUAAAUUCCGCUAAGUUACAUGCACACAAUGCAAAUAAAUCGGAACCUAGUAAGAAUAUCAUGUAUGAAAGUUUCAAUUCUACUAAGGUAAGAUAUCUACACUGGCUGUAAAACAAGCGGACAACUCGAUCAGGGAGUAGCAACGUACCAGUAGCAGCACUUUCCGGCUUUGUGCAUGGGUGCUCCCUAUCCUAAAAUGGUGUGACUACAUAUCCUUCACCAUGGACCGAAGAUCCACCGGCUAUCUUGACAGAAGUGGGGUGCAUAGUUGCAAUUCCCAUCAUAUUUUUAUUGAAGACUCAUAAUGGUUCGGGAGACAAGCAAUUCAAAUAUUAUUAAAAUAUUAAAUAAAUAAACAAUUAGCAUAUUAAGUUAAAAUAAAUACAAUAUCCAAAAAGCGUAAAUAUACAAGUCAUAGUCAUACAUAAAUUAAUAUUUAAAGCUCGAAUUCUAGUUAAUCCCCAGCGGAGUCGCCAUUUGUCACACCUCUUUUUUUUCUCUCAAAUAUUUUUUUUGAUUUUUAUUUUUCGAAAGAAAAGAGUUUUUCCAAUUAAAGUGACAUUUUGAAAAGGGAUAAUUAUUAUUCAGAGUCGCCACUUGGAAUUGAGUUUUGGUGUUUCAAGUCAGCUUAUUUAAAUCCCUAAUCAAAAGGAAAUUUGACUCUAUUUUUUAUUGGUCUGCAAACUAGAAAUUCGGGUAAGGAAUUCUGUUGACCGAGGGAAAGGUGUUAGGCACCCCUCGAAUCUCGAGGUUCUAUUACGGUCGCUUUAUUAACUUUGAUAUGACUUAACUUUGUUUAACUUAUUUGAAACUGACUAAUUUAUUUGAAAUGAUCUUAUUUCUUUUUCAGGGUAUGUCCAUUUAUUUUUAAAUACCUAAUAUUUUGAAAGUAGAAUUUAUAUAGGAAAGAGAUUUUAGUGUUUGAGUAAUUUUAGGAUUAUUUCUUUUUUAGUUACAUUUUUAAAUAAGAGGUAAAAUUUUAAGAGAUUUACUAUUAUUUUUACAGGGAAAAAAUUUAAAUUUUUUUUAAUGCUGCAUAUUCUUUUUUUUAAUUAUUAUCUUUGGUAUUUUUUUUGUAUUUUUUUUAAUUUUUAUAAUAAAGUAAUAAUUUUUAAUUUUGGUUGACAUUCUUUUAAACUCAUUCUUUAUCUUUCUUUUUUUUUUACUUUAUUGUUAUAAAAAAAAAACUUACGUGUUUGUUAACUUUUUUAUUAUUAUUUAUUUCUAUUUGAAAUUUAUUUCUCUUUUUAAUUAACAAUUCUAUUUAGAUAAUUUUGUUUUUGAAAAAUUAUUUAUUAAUUAUUUUUAUAUUUUAAUCUAACAAGUUAACAAUAAAUUUAAUAAAAUUCUAAAAUGAAAAACUAAACGGAAAAAUAUAUGAAUCUAAUCAAAUUUAUCAAUUCAAUAUCAUGAAGAGAUAUAAAUUACAAAGUGUAUCUAAAAAGCAUAAUAAUAACAAUAAUAAUAAUGUAACAAUAAUAAAUAUGAUACAUGCGAUUUGAAGAAUUUCAUACUAUUGAAAUCUAAUUUUCAUACAAGUAAUAUUAUUUAAAUCACGCGAGAAUUUAUAAUUACCUCGCUGCGAAAUUUCAUACCACAAAAACAAGCUGUCCACGAAUUUGGAACCGAGAGGAAAACCUCUAACUCUAACUUAAUUCUCAAAAGAAUAACUCACUUUUCUUCUCUUUGCUUUUUUUCUCUUUGUAUUUCAAUCUGCCUUUGUGUGUUUUUAACAUCUCUCUGUAUCUGUGUAUUUUUAUAAUUCUUUUGACUAAGAGUUUGGUGCUAAAUAAAAGGAACGUAAUAGAGUUGGAUUAAGAUUUAAUUUGAAAUAUUGUUGAGGAAAUUGGGGUUGAUGAUAAGGAUAUAAAAUAAAUAAAUAAUAAUAAUAAUAAUAGAAAUUAACAAAAAAAAUAAAAAAAAUGUGUAAACUAAACCUGCAAAGAGAGAGAGAGAGAGAGAGAGAGAGAGAGAGAGAGAAAAUGAAAAAAUAAAUAAAUAAAUGAAAUGAGAUUUUUUAGUAAAAUAAGUUUGGAAGUUGGGAAUAAUUAGGAUAAGGGGGAGGUAAUUUUUAGGACUCCCUUUUUCUUUUCUUCUACCAUUAUUUUUAAAGUAAUUAAAAGUUGAAGAUUUAAAACAAAUACCAUAAAUUCAUAAAAAAAUUAUUAUUAAAGUAAUUUACACAAUUUAUUUAUUUUUAUUUAUUUUAAAUAUAACCUUUUUUUAAAAAAUUGGUGUUAAAUCUUCAUAUUUUGGUAAAAAAUUAGGUGUUCACACCUAUUAUUCUCUAAACUUAUUUUAAAAGUAAUUUUCUAUCCCUUUUCGACAUACGUGGUACUAGUUUGAAAAAAAAGCCAAUCAGCGUUGGGCCCACAAGAUAGUAUCACGUAGGCCAAAAAGAGGUAGAAAAUUGUUAGUAAAUAAGUUCAGGGGUUAAUAGGACCGUAGUAUAAUAUAAGAGUGUCUAUGAGAUUUCGGUCAUACGUUAAGGGAGUGCUUGUGCAUUGUCCCUAAUAUUAAUUAGUAUAGGUAUUCGUGUGUUGUGCAGAUAUUUUAAAGGUAUAAUGCAUAAAUAUGUCCUUUAACUUGACUUCGAAUCACAUAUAUGCCCUUCAACUUUGGGUUUGCACAAAUAGACACUUAAACUUGUAUAAAGUUGAACAAAUAGACACACACGUCCUACAUGUCAUUUUUUAUCUUAUGUGGUGUCCUACAUGUAUUUUGCUAUGUAGGACUCAUGUGUUUGUUUAUUUAAAAGUUGGAUAGUUAAAGUGUUUGUUUGUGCAUUAUGAAAGUUGGAGAUCAAAGUUAAAAUUUGAAACCAAGUUUAGGAUCCAAUAUAUGUAUUAUGCCUAUUUUAAAAUAUAAUAAUUUAAAUUUAUGACUUUAAAAACGGAAAAGGGCCUAAAAUACCUUUGACCUAUCAGAAAUGGUAUAAAAGUACCCUCCAUUCACCUAUUGGUCCAAAAUACCCUCUUCAUCCACUUAUUGGCUCCAAAAUAUCCCUGUAAUCCACCUUGGGUUUAAAAUUGACCAAUUUUUUAACGAUUUAAAUUUAAACUAUUUAAAUAUUUUUUAAUAUAUUGGCUCUCAACUAUUUGUUAUAGUUUAACUUAUUAAUAUAAUUUAUAAAACAAUAUACUACCCACCAUUACUAAUUAAACUACACUCAAUUAAUAAAUCCGCUCCAUUACUAAAGCAACAACAGAAAAGCUACUACCAAUGAGUAUUUUUUAAAAAUUUGAGGCAAAAUUGUAUAUAUUAUACAUUCAAGUCCUCAAUCAAAACAUAUUAUAAUUCAAGUGUCUAAUUAAAAUUUACUGAUAACUUAAAAAUAUGACUAUGUUCAUCUUAAUUAUUCAUUCGUCUCAAUUAUGUGGUGUUACUUAAUAGAUAAAUUUUAUAAAAAAGAAUACAUUAAAGUUCUAAUAUUUAAAACUAAUAAUAAAUAUUUAUAAAAUUAUAUUUUAAAAAGUGCAUGAAUUAAUUCGGGAUGUACUACUUCUUCAUCUUUAAUCAUAAAAUACGAAUUCAAAUUUAAAAGAGAAUCCUAUUGAAAGCAGUCUCCUAAAUAAGCGGCUCAACCUAAAUUUAAUGAGAUUUCAAUUUGGACUCGAAUAAUUUUGAUUGUCAUUUUAAGGAAUAUGUAAUUUUGUCUUGUUUCAGUAGUGUUUAGGGCGAUUAUGAUAUUAAAAUUGAUUUAUUAAUUGAGUGGGGUUCAAUUAGUAUAUAAAUGAUAUUAUAAUUAAAUUAUAUCAAAUAGUUGAGCAACAAGUAUUUUUAAAAAAAUAUUUAAAUGGUUUAAAUUUGAAAAAGGAUAUUUUGCAGCCAAUAGGUAGGUGAAAAGGACAUUUUCGAGCGAAUAGGUGGAUUGAGGGUAGUUUUGUACCAUUUUCAAUAUUUCUAGGGUAUUUUAGGCUCUUUUCCGCUCUAAAAAAGAAUGAUAUAGUUUGAUUUAACAUAAAAUUUAAGAAAAUAAAAAACUUUUAAUUCUUUUUAUCCUAAAUUAAAAUUAUGUCAAAUUUAUUAAAAAAAUAUCAUUCUUUUUUAAACAAACUAAAAAAGAAAUAAAAAAUUAUUCCUUUAUUUAUAAGGUACAAGGGCAAAUGGAUCAAGAAAGUCAAGAGGUUCAACAAGGUCCAUGUUGUACCGAAUGUGGAAAUUGUCAAAAACCAAGGCAAAAUAUCCUACUACUAUUUGUUUUUUAUUCAAUUUAAAGAAAAGGAAAAAACAUAAUGUGAAAUUAAUAAAAAUGUAUUUUGUUUGUAAUGUAUUUUUAAAUGUUUUUAUCAUCAAUAUUUGAAUUUUAAAAUGUCCUUAGUAUUAUUAUCUCUAAAGAACUGCAAUAUUCUAUAUUUAAAAAAGGGCAUAUAUGUCUUUUAAUUCUCAUAAAAAAAAGAUCAGAAAUUAAAGAAAAAAUAAAAAAAACCCUAACAGAACAGCACAACACUGGAAAUCAGCGAUUUUAAAAAAGAAACAGAGAGCUCUUGUUCUACAGCAAACGAACGAAAGAGAAAAAUAAAUUGAAAAUUGAAAGUCUUAGUUCUCAAACUAAAUAGAGAGAUGGAAGAAGAAGGAGACGAAGGUAAGUUUCUAACUUAGUUUAAAGGUUGAAUUUGUAUCUUCCAUGACUAUAAGAUUGAGAAUUGAGAAGUUGAGAAACAUGGGUUUAGAAGAAAUAGAGGAAAUUUAUUUCAUUCUUAUGAACCAAGAUAACAUAGUCAAUGAUUUGAACGAUAAACUUUGGUAUUGUUCUUAUAUGCAAUGAAAGUUAUCAGGCAAUAAUGUUAGAUUGAUCUUUUUACAGUGAGAAUUAAUUGACCAAAAAGAGACUAUUUUAUGUGAUUAAAGUACUAAUUAAGUGAUUUGGAUAGAUUCCGAAUUAAUCAUGAAAUCUCUAGGGAUGAGUUUUUGUUAAUGUAGUAUGAAUUACCUAAACGAAGGAGUUAACACGAAAUUAUUAUGAAUGUGUUUAUAGUUUGACCAAAGGAAUUCACAUAGACUAUUCAAGUGAAGAGCUUGGUGUUUCAACACAAGUACAAUGAGUAGCAAUCUUACCACAAUUGAUGUUUUAUAAGUUGCAUGAUUUUCACGUGGUGUAUAAAGUAAUGUGUUAUUGAAUGUUUUGAACUUGCAUGUGGGACAAGUAUUUUACUAGAUAUGAUACCGGAAGAUUUUUUGAGAUAAUCUCAUUUUUACAAGAUAUGAUUACUGGUAUUGAAAAAGUUUUACACUUAUUUGAGAAAUAGUAUUUUGACAGUUGAUUGUUAAACUUUAAAAUGAUAUGAUUUAAUAAGAUUUUAAGUGCUCUGUUCAUUUUUAAAAUGUUUUUACUGAUUACAAGAAAAAUAUAAAUGAGAACAGACUUUGAUGAAUCCCGUUAGACCUGGUGCACCUUGUAUUUACUGAUUUCUUAUAAAGUCCUUGCUAGUGGGAGUGGAAUUAGUAUACUAUUACUGAUAUCCCUCGAGGAGGGAUCUACUGAUAUGAAUAUUUAACUCCUUUAUGAGGAGUUCGCUGUUAUUGAUUACUUCUUAUAAAGAAGGUCACUAUGAUUACAUGAUUCAUCUUUGAAAACCUCCCAGAUAUAAGCUUUGAUAUAAAAGUGUUUUUCUGAGUUUACAGCUAUAAGAUUUGAUAUGAAAUUGUUAUUUUACUGAGUUUGCUAUUAUGUAUUUACACUGAAUAUGCUCAUAUGAGGCAUACAAGAUUGAAUAUGGUUAUUUUUUUAAGAACAUUAUUUCAUCAUUAUGACUAUUAUAUUAGCAUGUUUUCUAAUUUGUCCCUCAUUAAAAUGGUUGUGGAUAAGUAUUAUUACUAACUGAGCUAGUGUCUCACUUCUCGCUAAUUGAUUUUUUACAGAGAAUUCAGGUGGUGUUGAGGAGGAUUUAUUGUUAUUCUUAUAGUAACCUGUAUUUAUAAGGUUAAUAAACAGAAACAGAAAUAAGAUAAAGCAGAAAAACAUAAAAUACAAGAAGUAAUCCGAAUCCAUAGAAACUACUGUGUGUCCUUAAGAAAUUUAAUCCCCUCACUGUACCCAAGGUUAUGGAUUAAUUUAUCCCAAGAUAAAACGGAUUAAACCUGUUAAAGAAAUAGUGGUACCUCAAAUUUCUUUAACUUCAGCGAACUUGAGAACAGCAACAAGUCACACAGACUCAGUCGAUCGACACUUUUGAUUUUAUUUGAGAGAAAAAUAAAUGCAGAAAAGGAAAAUUUUCAGUGUUUAAAAAAUCGAAAAUUGACUUUCUUUUAUAGCCAUUUUCAGCAAGAAACGUGUCUGUUCAGAGAAAUCUGUUCAGACCCGUUUAUUCCAAAAAGUUGUGUCUUUUGAAAAAAAUAACAACUUUUCGGAAAAAUGUGUCUGUUAGGAAAAUAACGACUUUUUUUGGAAAGUAACGACUUUUCGGAAAGAGCAACAACUUUUCAGAAUGUUACCGUUACCCGCAAAUUUAUAAGAGAUGAUAUUAACAGGAUUUAUUUGAUUUAACAAAAAUUGAUUAAACAAAUUUUGUCCAAAAAAUUUAUCAAUCAAUCACAUCAUUUGCCAAAUCUAAAUCCAAAUUCCAAGCCCAAGCCCAAGCCCAAGCCGAGGUCGAGCGAGCGACGACGACGCGAGGGGGCAUCUUAUUCUUAGCUCUUUAAGAAGUAAUGGAAGUGUUUCCUUAUAUAAGGACAACAAUUUUCCUUUGUUUUGUCGAUAUGGGAUAAAUGACUUUACAUUUGCACUUUGCAAAUGACUAUUCAUUUUCCCUCCAAAGCAUUUCCCUCACUUUUCAUAUUCUCUUUUUUCUUUUCCCAUUCACACUUGCUAAACCCCAACAAUCCCCUACAUGAAUGGGGAAGACUAUUAUUAAAACAUAUGCAUGAAAAAAAAACUUGUGUGUCUUGUAGGUAAAGGUUAAUUGCAUCUAGAUAAGUAGGUUUCCGUUUAAACUUUCCGUAGUGAACAUAUAUCGGAUAUACUCUGUCAAUCAUUAGAUUUGAUAUCUUUGAACCGUCGAGCUUUGGUGUAAAUCUAGACAACAUAUGUCACACAAUCAACCCUUGAACUGUUCUUAGUUCUCAUUGUUUUGUUCGUUUGAACCAUGAACACAUCUUGGAUAGUAAGUGCUUAAAGAAUUGGCCUUACCGGAUUCUCCUCGAAGCGGCUUACACUUCACACUUACAUAGGUGAUUUCUAAAUGUGUUAUCCCAUAGAUACACCAUUUGAUAUUCCCUGUAUUCAAACUUAGAAACCAUUAAAAAGUCCUUAUGUCUUUAUCCUGGUUACUAAACAUUGUCUCAUCAUGAGAAUGGACCAUAAAAUAAUAUUAAUUUUUUUUUCUUUUGAUAAUGUUGAACCGUCAUCAAUGACUUUGUUUUAUCUCCUUGAACCUAGAUCUUGGGAUAUCCAGCCUUCUAGGUAGAGUUACCACCACGAUGACUUGUUCUCGGCCAUAGUCCCAUUCCCGUCAAUGAUUUCUCAACUGCCUCUCUAUUUAGGCCUUUUGUAAGUGGAUCCGACACAUUAUCUUUUGACUUCACAUAGUCAAUUGUGAUAAUUCCACUAGAGAGUAGUUGUCUCACAGAAUUAUGUCUUCGUCUUAUGUGACGAGACUUGCCGUUAUACAUAAUGCUUCCAGCCCUUCCUAUUGCAGCUUGACUAUCACAAUGUAUGCAUAUAUGGGCCAUUGGUUUGGGCUAAAAUGGAAUAUCUUCUAAGAAGUUUCGGAGCCAUUCAACUUCUUCAUUUGUCUUGUCUAAUGCAAUGAAUUCAGACUCCAUUGUAGAGCGAGCUAUACAUGUUUGUUUGGAUGAUUUCCAAGAUAUUGCUCCUUCACCAAUAGUAAAAAUGUAUCCACUUGUGGAUUUUGUUUCAGUUGACCCAAUAAUCCAAUUUGCAUCACUAUAUCCUUCAAGAACGGCUGAAUAUUUGUUGUAAUGUAAAGCAUAGUUUUGAGUGUCAUCUAAGUAUCUCAAAACUCUCUUCAUUGUCAACCAAUGAUUUUGAUUAGGAUUACUUGUGUAUCGACUCAGUUUACUGAUAGCGCAAGUUAUGUCUGGUCGUGUACAAUUCAUGACAUACAUUAAGCUUCCCAAUACGCUAGCAUAGUCCAAUUGAGACUGACUUUCACCUUUAUUCUUUGCAAGAUGAAGGUUUACAUCAAUUGGAGUCUUUGCCCUUUUAAAAUUCAAAAAAUUUGAAUUUUUCAAGUAUCUUUUGAAUAUAAUGAGUUUGAGACAAUUCUAGACCAUUAGGAGUUUUAAGAAUUUUAAUUCCUAAUAUCACAUCAGCAACUCCUAAAUCUUUCAUAUCAAACUUACUAGCGAGCAUACGCUUUGUAGCUUUUAUAUUAGCAAUGUCUUUGCUCAUUAUAAGCAUAUCAUCUACAUAUAGUCAUAAAAUAACUUUCUGAUUUGGAGUAUCUUUAAUGUAAACACAUUUAUCACAUUCAUUGAUCUUAAAUCCAUUUGACAACAUGGUUUAAUCAAACUUUGCAUGCCAUUGUUUUGGUGCUUGUUUUAGUCCAUAAAGUGACUUAAUAAGUUUGCACACUUUCUUUUCUUUACCAGGAACUACAAAACCCUCAGACUGUUCUAUGUAAAUUUCCUCUUCAAGCUCUCCAUUUAAGAAGGUUGUUUUCACAUCCAUUUGAUGAAUUUCAAGACCGUAUGCUACAGCUGGUGCAAUUAACAUCCGAAUUGAUGUAAUCAUAGUCACUGGCGAGUAUGUGUCAAAAUAAUCAAGACCUUCUUUUUGUCUAAAACAUUUGACAUUAAGUCUUGCUUUAUAUUUGUCAAUAGUUCCAUCGUCUUUCAUCUUCUUUUUAAAGAUCCAUUUUGAACCCAAAGGUUUGUUCCCUGUAGGAAGAUCAACCAACUUCCAAGUAUGAUUACUUAAGAUUGAUUCUAUUUCACUAUUAACAGCCUCCUUCCAAGAGGUUGAGUCGCUAGACAACAUUGCUUCCUUGAAUGUUUGAGGCUCACUUUCAAGAAGAAAUGUUAUAAGAACUGAUCUAAAUAAAGUAGAUGUCUUUUGACAUUUAUUGCGUCUUGGACUUUCUUCAUUUUGUUCAUUCUCUUUUGGUUCUUCUCUGGGUUGUUUAAAUCCCCCACUAGAUGACUCAAGUCUAGUUUUAUACGGAUAGAUAUGUUCAAAAAAUUCAGCACUAUCUGAUUCCGUUACCGUAUUAUCAUGAAUAUCCGGAUGUUCCUACUUAUGAACCAAAAAUCGACAUGCCUUACUGUUUGUGGCAUAUCCAAUGAAUACACAAUCCACAGUCUUAGGUCCUAUUUUGACUCUCUUAGGUAUAGGAACUUGGACUUUGGCUAGACACCCCCACGCUUUGAAAUAUUUCAAAUUGGUUUUUAUACCUUUCCAUUUCUCAUAUAGAAUUACAUUUGUCUUUGAGUGAGGCACUCUGUUAAGUAUUUGAUUUGCUGUAAGGAUAGCUUCCCCCCACAAAUUCUGUGAUAAACCUGAACUUAUAAGUAAUGCAUUCAUCAUUUCUUUUAAAGUUUGGUUUUUCCUUUCUACAAUUCCAUUAGACUGAGGAGUGUAGGGAGCAGUAGUUUGAUGGAUUAUUCCAUUUCUAAACAUAUUUCUGCAAAUGGAGAUUCAUAUUCUCCACCUUUAUAACUUCUGAUCAUUUUGAUCUUUUUAUCUACUAAUUUUCAACUUCAGUUUUAUAUUGCCUAAAUGCAUCUAUUACUUCAUCCUUACCAUUUAGCAAAUAUACAUAACAAUAUCUCGUGUAAUCGUCAAUAAAAGUUAUGAAAUACUUUUUCCCACCACGUGAUGGUGUUGAAUUCAUGUCACAAAUAUAAGUGUGAAUCAAUUCUAAAAGAUUUGAAUUCCUUUCAACAGAUUUAUAAGAAUGCUUAGCAUACUUAGAUUCAACACAAAUUUGACAUUUUGAUUUAUUGCACUCAAAUUUUGGCAAAAUAUUUAAGUUAAUCAGUUUUCGCAAGGUGUUGUUAUUAACGUGUCCCAAACGUUCUUGCCAUAAACAUUUAGACUCAAGCAAGUAAGAAGAAGAAAAAUCUUUAUUCAUAUUAACUGCAAUUACAUUGAGUUUGAAAAGGCCAUCACUAAGGUAGCCUUUACCUACAUACAUAUCAUUUUUGCUUACUACUACUUUAUUAGAAACAAAUACACAUUUGAAUUCAUUCUUGGUCAGAACUGGAAUUGAAACUAAAUUCUUUCUCAAUUCUGGAACAUAUGAGACCCUAUUUAAAGUCACCACCUUGCCUGAUGUCAUCUUUAAUAAGACUUUGCCAGUUCCUUCCACCUUUACAACAACGGAGUUUGCCAUAAACAAUUUUUCAUCUGUAAGUGCUAGAGUAUAUGUGAAAAUAAUUCUUUGUUGGCACAAACAUGGCAUGAGGCACCAGAAUAUAUCCACCAUUCUCUUGGAUUUUCAACCAAGUUACAUUCUGAAAGCAUUGCACAGAGAUCGUCCAUUUCUCCUUUGGAUUUAGCCAAAUUUGCUUGAUCCUUCUUUUUCUUGUCCUUCUUUGGACCCCGACAUUCAUCAGCCCUAUGACCAUGUUUACCACAAUUAAAGCAGUUUCCAUUGAAUUUAUUCUUAGGAGGAUUGCUUUGGACCAGAUGCUUUCUUUCUUUUCUUUAAUUUUGUCUGAUCUUCUUCAACAAAAUUUACUCCAGCUAUUGCUGAAUCACCACAUGACCUCUUUUCUGCAGCCUUAUUAUCCUCUUCGAUUCUCAACCUUACUAUGAGAUCUUCAACAGUCAUCUCCUUGCGUUUGUGUUUCAAGUAAUUUUUGAAGUCCUUCUAUUAUGGAUGUAACUUUUCAAUAAUUGCAGCCACUUGAAAAGCAUCAUUUACAAUCAAUCCUACAUUAAGGAUUGUCACACCCCUUUUUUUUCCUUUCAAUAUUUUUUUAUUUUUAAUUUUUUAUUGUUUCGAAAGAAAAAGAGUUUUUCCAAUUAAAGUGACAUUUUGAAAAGGGAUAAUUAUUAUUCAGAGUCGCCACUUGGAAUUGAUUUUUGGUGUUCCAAGUCACCUUAUUUAAAUCCCUAAUCAAAAGGAAAAUUGGCUCUAUUUUUUAUUGGUCUGCGAACUAAAAAUCCGAGUAAGGAAUUCUGUUGACCGAGGGGAAGGUGUUAGGCAUCCCUCGAGUCCCGUGGUUCUAGCACGGUCGCUUCAUUGACUUUUAAUAUGACUAAACUUAAUUUUUGUACAAUGUAUUAUUUAACUUAAUAAUAAAAUUGUAUUUUAUUUUCAGAUUUAUUCUAAACUUAUUUUAAACUGACUAAUUUUGCUUUUACAUUUUUUUUUAUAUAUUUUUAUGUUAUUAUAGGGAUGAAUUAUAUAGGUAUUUUAUAGUUAGAAAAUAUUUAGAGUUCAUGUUAAUUUAGAAUUUCUAUUUUUUUUAAAAAAAAUAAUAGAAAGAUGAAAUUUUAUGAGAUUUGAAUUAGUUUUAAAAUCACAAAAAUUCUAAAUAGAUUAGGACUAUAUUUAUUUUUUUAAGAAAGGUUAAAUUUUAUUUUUUUAAUCUUUUAAUGCAUGUAACAAUUUUUAACAUUCUGUCUUCUUUUUUAAAAAAAAAUAAUUAUUAUUUUUAGAUUAAUUCUUUUUGUUUACGUUUGUUAUCUUUUUUGUGCUACAUUCUCUUUUUUUUUACUUUUUCUUUCUUUUUAUGUUUUUAACUUUUUUUUUCUUUUUACAUUUUUUAUUCUGAUUCUCCUUUUUUUCACGUUUUUUUUUUACUUUUUUUUUUUUAAAAAAAUUCUGUUUCUGUUUUUUUUUGGAAAAAUCUGCUUUUUUUAUUUUAUUUAUUUAUUUUAUUUUAGAUUUUAUAUAUAUAUAUAUAUAUAUAUAUAUAUAUAUAUAUAUAUAUAUAUAUAUAUAUAUAUUCCUUCUGUGUCACGACCCAAAUCGAACGCGACUGGCACCCACGCUUACCCUCCUAUGUGAGCGAACCAACCAAUCUAAACCUUAACAUUUCAAUGUAAUAACAACAGAAAGUAAUGCGGAAGACUUAAACUCAUUAAUAAAAACCAAUUCAAUAACUAUCAAUAUUCAACAUCUAUUAUUCCCAAAACCUGGAAGUCAUCAUCACAAGAACAUCUACCUUAAACUACUAAUUCAAAGAGUUUCUAAGAAGCUAAAAAUACAUAAGAAGCUAGUCCAUGCCGGAAGUUCAAGGCAUCAAGACAUGAAGGAGAAGAUCCAGUCCAAGCUAGAAGCAUUAGCUCACCCUGAAGAUCCGGUGUAACGAAGACUGGCUUGAGUUACUGUUGAGUCGAAGAUGACGGCACGUUUGCUGCACUCCACAAAUAACAAGAAGAAAAACAUAAAAGUAGGGGUCAGUACAAAACACGAGUACUGAGUAGAUAUCAUCGGCCAACUCAAAAUAGGGAACAGUAUAUAUCAAAUAUUAUCGUAAAUCAACUAUAAAACUCAACAUGUAGCAACAACAAGUACUAUAAUCAUCAAUAAGUACCAUCAAGUUCAUCCAUGAGGGCUCAAGCCUCAACACCAUACUCAUUUGGGAAUUAAGUAUAUUAAGUUGAGUAUAUUAUCAUCUUUCAAGAUUCAUUAUCUUUCCUCCUCUUGUGUCGGUACGUGACACUCCGAUCCCCUACUACUAUGUGUCGGAACGUGAUACUCCGAUCCCCUAAUUCUAUGUGUCGGAACGUGACACUCCGAUCCCCUAAUUCUAUGUGUCAAAACGUGACACUCCGAUCCCCUACAUGUGUCGGAACGUGACACUCCGAUCCCCUACAUGUGUCGGUACGUGACACUCCGAUCCCCUACAUGUGUCGGAACGUGACACUUCGAUCCCCUACAUGUGUCGGUACGUGACACUCUGAUCCCCUAAUUCUAUGUGUCGGAACGUGACACUCUGAUCCACUAAUACUAUGUGUCGGAACGUGACACUCCGAUCCACUAAUACUAUGUGUCGGAACGUGACACUCCGAUCCACUAAUAUCAUUCUGUAAAUCAUCAAGCCUUCUCUAUUCCAAGGCAUCAUCAAUCCCAUUACUUUAAUUCAUCAAGCCUUCUUCUAUACCAAGGCAUCAUCAUUAAUAAUGUAUAUUAAAGUUUCUUUUCAAGAUUUGGGAUUCAAUAUUUUCAUCAUGCUUAUCUUAUCACAAUCACAUAAUCAUAUUCAUGCAAACAUACCAUUAAGUAUAUAGUAGGGUUUACAAUACUACCAAUACAUAUCAUUCACUAUUAACAGUUUACUUAUGAAGCAUGAAAACCAUAACCUACCUUCACCGAAGAAUUGGAAUCAACAAGCAAUUUCCCAAGCUUUGAUAUUCCCUCUGCCUCUUGAUCGAUCAAUUUCUCUCUCUCCUUGUUCUCUCUAUUUUCUUUAUUCAAACCCUCUUUAUUUUACCCUAGUUAACAUAUAAUUAAGUGUAAAAGAUGGCAAUAAUACCCAACUAAUUAACUUAGGGUUACCUCUUUUAACCCCCAAGAAUUUGAGUUAUUAAUAUAAACCCACAAAAUCUAUAAUUAAGGAAGGAAUAGUCCAAAAACGUCCCUUAAAACGUGUAAGGAAAUCCGAUUCUGCCUGGGAUUUGUGCAACCUGUGACGGGCCGUCGUGCCUGCGACGGUCCGUCCUGCAGGUCGUCGCAAGAGUCAGAGAGUCAAUUUCCACUGAACAAUCUAUGACGGUCCGUCACGCCGGUGACGGUCCGUCCUGCCAUUCCGUCACGAAGUUCAGAGAGUCGAUUUUCAGUACCCAAUUUCAGAUUUUCUAAGUGUUUUGAAACGAGACCCUGCGACGGUCCGUCGUGCCCAUGACGGAUCGUCGUUUGGUCCGUCGCCUCAUCCUGUUUUUCCAGAAUUGAAGUUUGUUGCUCAAAACGACUAAACAGGUCGUUACAAUAGAUAUCAAUUUACCCAUCGUUCGUCCCGAACGAUCAAAAGAAGGAAAACAAGGGCGAAAAGGAGUACCUGAAUCUGUAAACAGAUGUGGGUAUCUUUCUUGCAUAUCUGCCUCCUUCUCCCAAGUGGCUUCUUCAACCGAUCGAUUCUUCCAUUGCACCUUGAUGGAUGCAAUCUCUCUUGACCUCAACUUGCGAACUUCUCUAUCUAAAAUAGCAACAGGAUCCUCCUCAUAAGACAAGUUCUCAUCAAGCAAAACGGAAUCCCAACGGAUAAUGUAGUUUCCAUCCCCAUGGUAUCUUUUCAACAUCGACACAUGGAAUACCGGAUGUACUCUGGACAGCCCUGGAGGCAAGUCUAACUCAUAAGCCACCUCUCCUACUCGCUUAAGUAUUUCAAAUGGUCCAAUGUACCUUGGACUUAGUUUACCCCUUUUACCAAACCGCAUCACCCCUUUCAUUGGUGAAACUUUCAACAAGACUUGUUCACCCUCCAUGAACUCUAAGUCUCUAACCUUUCGAUCUGCAUAUUCUUUUUGUCUACUUUGUGCCGCUUGAAUCUUUUCUUGAAUAGACUUCCCUUUCUCUAUCGAAUCCCUCAAAAGGUCAGUACCCCAAGGCCUAACCUCAAAUGCAUCAAACCAACCAAUGGGAGACCUACAUCUCCUACCAUACAAUGCUUCAAAUGGAGCCAUAUCAAUGCUUGAGUGAUAGCUAUUAUUGUAUGAAAACUCCGCUAAGGGUAGGAAGCUAUCCCAAUGACCACCAAACUCUAUCACACACGCACGAAGCAUAUCCUCCAACACUUGAAUCGUCCUUUCAGACUGACCAUCGGUCUGAGGAUGGAACGCAGUACUAAGGUCCAACCUAGUACCCAAUUCCGCAUGCAAUGUUUUCCAGAACUUAGAAGUAAACUGCGUACCUCUAUCUGAUAUGAUGGAUAGUGGAACCCCAUGCAAUCGCACCACUUCCGAGAUGUAAAGUUUGGCUAACUUCUCUGCAUUGUAAGUCACCUUAACCGGAAUGAAGUGAGCAGACUUAGUUAACCUAUCAACAGUUACCCAAAUAGAAUCAAAUUUUCCCAAUGUCUGGGAAGACCAACCACAAAGUCCAUUGCAAUUCUUUCCCACUUCCAUUCCGGAAUGGGCAUUCUCUGAAGGGUUCCUCCGGGCCUCUGGUGUUCAUACUUUACUUGUUGACAGUUUGGACAUCUGGCAAUAAAAUCAACAAUAUCACGCUUCAUUCUACUCCACCAAAAGUGUUGCUUUAGAUCACGAUACAUCUUGGUUGCGCCCGGAUGUAUCGAAUACUUUGAACUAUGAGCCUCUGUCAGAAUAGUGUUGAUCAGAUCAUCAACUCGGGGUACACAUACCCUUCCCUUGAUCCUCAAAACACCUUCCUCAUCAAUUUGUGCCUCCUUAGCCUCUCCUCGCAAUACCUUAUCUUGAAUUCUGCGCAGUUUCUCAUCAUCAGACUGUUUUCCCUUAAUCUUGUCAAGAAAGGAAGAUCUUGCCUCCACAGAAGCCAACAAUCCUCCCUUCUCAUUUACUUCUAAUCUCAUCAAGUCAUUAGCUAGAGUCUGAACCUCUCUAGCCAAUGGGCGUCUAGAAGCGUGCAAGUGAGCUAGACUUCCCAUGCUUCCCGCCUUUCUACUUAAAGCAUCCGCUACAACAUUCGCCUUCCCCGGAUGAUACAAAAUAGUGAUGUUGUAGUCCUUCAGUAGUUCCAUCCAUCUCCUCUGUCUUAAGUUCAAAUCUUUCUGAGUAAAGACAUAUUGAAGGCUACGAUGAUCCGUGUAGACCUCACACCUAACCCCAUAUAAAUAGUGUCUCCAUUGCUUUAAUGCAAACACUACCGCAGCCAAUUCCAAAUCAUGAGUUGGAUAGUUACGUUCAUGCACUUUUAAUUGUCUUGAAGCAUAAGCAAUCACACUCUUCUCUUGCAUUAGUACUGCACCCAACCCAGAAUAGGAUGCAUCACAAUAAACAAUGAAGUUCUUACCCUCUACUGGCAAGGUAAGGAUAGGUGCGGUAGUCAACAAAGUCUUGAGCUUCUGAAAGCUUUCCUCACAUUCGUCCGACCAUACAAAUGGAACAUUCUGCUUAGUCAAGCUCGUCAAUUGGGAAGCAAUAGAAGAGAAUCCCUUGACAAAUCGGCGGUAGUAGCUAGCUAACCCAACAAAGCUCCUUAUUUCUGACACAUUAGUGGGUCUUACCCAAUUCUUCACUGUUUCAAUCUUAGAAGGAUCCACCAUCACUCCUUCCUUAGAAACCACGUGCCCCAAGAAGGACACUGCAUCUAGCCAAAACUCACACUUAGAGAACUUGGCAUAAAGCUUUUUCUCCCUCAACAUUUCCAAUACCAUUCUCAAAUGUUCUUCAUGUUCCUUCUUGCUCUUUGAGUAUACCAAUAUAUCAUCAAUAAACACGAUCACGAAGAGGUCCAAAUAUGGCUUAAAAAUACCAUUCAUCAAGCUCAUGAACGCAGCAGAGGCAUUCGUAAGACCAAAAGACAUCACCACAAAUUCGUAAUGCCCAUACCUCGUUCGAAAAGCAGUCUUUGGCACAUCUGUUGCCCGUAUUUUCAAUUGAUGAUAACCGGAUCUCAAGUCAAUCUUAGAGAAGACACAAGCACCUUGUAACUGAUCGAACAAGUCAUCAAUGCGAGGAAGAGGAUACUUGUUCUUAAUAGUUACUUUAUUCAGUUGUCUGUAAUCUAUGCACAUCCGAAAACUCCCAUCCUUCUUCUUUACAAACAAAACCGGAGCACCCCAAGGAGAUGCACUUGGUCUAAUGAAGCCUUUGUUCAAUAACUCUUGAAGUUGUGCUUUUAACUCUCUUAACUCCGCGGGAGCCAUUCUAUAAGGGGGUAUAGAAAUGGGGCGAGCACCGGGUUCAAGAUCAAUACAGAAGUCAAUAUCCCUAUCCGGUGGCAUACCAGGAAGAUCUGCAGGGAACACAUCCAGAAACUCACGAACUACUGAAACCGACUCAAUCGAAGGUACUUGGGUAGUGUCAUCCUUGAGAUGUGCCAAGAAAGCUAAACACCCUUUACUAACCAUUUUCUUAGCACGAAGAAAGGAGAUGAUACGCACCGGAUUGGAAGUGUCGUCACCCUCCCACACUAACAGAUCUGUCCCAGGCUUGGCUAACGUCACGGUUUUAGCAUUACAAUCCAAGAUUGCAAAAUUUGGAGAAAGUCAAGUCAUACCCAGAAUUACAUCGAAAUCAUACAUUGCCAAGAUAACCAAAUCUACAUAAGUGUUGCUCCCCACAAAGUUUACCACACAAGACCUAUAUACCUUUUCAACUACCACAGACUCACCCACCGGAGUAGAAACACGAAUAGGCAUAUCAAGAAAUUCACAAUGUAAAUUUAGACCAUUAGCAAAUGAGGAAGAUACAUAAGAAAACGUGGAUCCAGGAUCAAACAAUACAGAAGCCAUGCAAUCACAAACCAGAAAAUUACCUGUGAUGACAGCAUCAGAUGUCUCCGCUUCAGACCGCCCAGGGAAAGCGUAACAAUGGGUCCUAUCGUUCGUCUGUCCGUUGCCCCUACCAUGUUGUGAUGUAGUGGCCCCAGUUUGCCCAUUACCUCUGCCGUUUUGGUGACCACCAUUACCUCGACCACCACGUCCUCCAGAAUAACGGCCUCUACCAUGACCACCUCUACCUCUAGCUAUUGAGGGUCUAUAACUUUGUCUGGGACAAUUUUUCCUAAUAUGUCCAAUCUCCCCACAUCCAUAACAUUCUCUGGAUUCAAUCAUAGGCCCCUCGGAGAAGUGUUGACCGGUCUGAGGUGGUCCCCCAACUACAGUCUGUAGUGAAGACUGAAUUGGUCGGACUGAGUAACUUCCCGAACCCUGUCCUCUAGUGUAAGAACCAUUAAACUCACCUCCCUUUCGAAGCCUUUUUGAUGUCGAUGUUGUGGUGAAGUCGUCUGGCUUCACUCCUUCCACUUCUAUCACAAAGUCUACCACUUCUUGGAAGGAUUUUGCCGUUGCCGCUACUCUUCCUCGAGCUACAGCCCCAGUGGCUGGCUCAGACGAUUCUUGUCUUGCCGAUGUUGGUGUUGGCGCAGUCGUUGAUCUAGUUCUAACCAUCUGCGAAAUAGAGUGAAGAUGGUUAGAUACCAAUUUGUAUCACCUAGAUACCAAUUGGAUCCAAGUAAUAGCACGAAAGAAAGAAAGAAUGGAAUUUUUCUAAAGUCUUGUAGCCUCUCAAAGAAAAGUAAAGGCGUCCCCCUACCGUUCCUUAAGACUCUACUAGACUCGUUCUUGUGUGAUGAGACCAACGAACCUAAUGCUCUGAUACCAAAUUUUUCACGACCCAAAUCGGAUCGCAACUGGCACCCACACUUACCCUCCUAUGUGAGCGAACCAACCAAUCUAAACCUUAACAUUUCAAUGUAAUAACAACAGAAAGUAAUGCGGAAGACUUAAACUCAUUAAUAAAAGCAAAUUCAAUAACUAUCAAUAUUCAACAUCUAUUAUUCCCAAAACCUGGAAGUCAUCAUCACAAGAACAUCUACCUUAAACUACUAAUUCUAAGAGUUUCUAAGAAGCUAAAAAUACAUAAGAAGCUAGUCCAUGCCGGAAGUUCAAGGCAUCAAGACAUGAAGGAGAAGAUCCAGUCCAAGCUAGAAGCGUUAGCUCACCUUGAAGAUCCGGUGUGACGAAGACUGGCUUGAGUUACUGUUGAGUCGAAGAUGACGGCACGUUUGCUGCACUCCAAAAAUAACAAGAAGAAAAACAUAAAAGUAAGGGUCAGUACAAAACACGAGUACUGAGUAGAUAUCAUCGGCCAACUCAAAAUAGGGAACAGUAUAUAUCAAAUAUUAUCGUAAAUCAACUAUAAAACUCAACAUGUAGCAACAACAAGUACUAUAAUCAUCAAUAAGUACCAUCAAGUUCAUCCAUGAGGGCUCAAGCCUCAACACCAUACUCAUUUGGGAAUUAAGUAUAUUAAGUUGAGUAUAUUAUCAUCUUUCAAGAUUCAUUAUCUUUCCUCCUCUUGUGUCGGUACGUGACACUCCGAUCCCCUACUACUAUGUGUCGGUACAUGACACACCGAUCCCCUAAUUCUAUGUGUCGGAACGUGACACUCCGAUCCCCUAAUUCUAUGUGUCGGAACGUGACACUCCGAUCCCCUACAUGUGUCGGAACGUGACACUCCGAUCCCCUACAUGUGUCGGUACGUGACACUCCGAUCCCCUACAUGUGUGGAACGUGACACUCCGAUCCCCUACAUGUGUCGGUACGUGACACUCCGAUCCCCUACAUGUGUCGGUACGUGACACUCUAAUCCCCUAAUUCUAUGUGUCGGAACGUGACACUCCGAUCCACUAAUACUAUGUGUCAGAACGUGACACUCCGAUCCACUAAUACUAUGUGUCGGAACGUGACACUCCGAUCCACUAAUAUCAUUCUGUAAAUCAUCAAGCCUUCUCUAUUCCAAAGCAUCAUCAAUCUCAUUACUUUAAUUCAUCAAGCCUUCUUCUAUACCAAGGCAUCAUCAUUAAUAAUGUAUAUUAAAGUUUCUUUUCAAGAUUUGGGAUUCAAUAUUUUCAUCAUGCUUAUCUUAUCACAAUCACAUAAUCUUAUUCAUGCAAACAUACCAUUAAGCAUAUAGUAGGGUUUACAAUACUACCAAUACAUAUCAUUCACUAUUAACAGUUUACUUAUGAAGCAUGAAAACCAUAACCUACCUUCACCGAAGAAUUGGAAUCAACAAGCAAUUUCCCAAGCUUUGAUAUUCCCUCUGCCUCUUGAUCGAUCAAUUUCUCUCUCUCCUUGUUCUCUCUAUUUUCUUUAUUCAAACCCUCUUUCUUUUACCCUAGUUAACAUAUAAUUAAGUGUAAAAGAUGGCAAUAAUACCCCACUAAUUAACUUAGGGUUACCUCUUUUAACCCCCAAGAAUUUGAGUUAUUAAUAUAAACCCACAAAAUCUAUAAUUAAGGAAGGAAUAGUCCAAAAACGUCCCUUAAAACGUGUAAAGAAAUCCGAUUCUGCCUGGGAUUUGUGCAACCUGUGACGGGCCGUCGUGCCUGCGACGGUCCGUCCUGCAGGUCGUCGCAAGAGUCAGAGAGUCAAUUUCCACUGAACAAUCUAUGACGGUCCGUCACGCCUGUGACGGUCCGUCCUGCCAUUCCGUCACGAAGUUCAGAGAGUCGAUUUUCAGUACCCAAUUUCAGAUUUUCUAAGUGUUUUGAAACGAGACCCUGCGACGGUCCGUCGUGCCCAUGACGGAUCGUCGUUUGGUCCGUCGUCUCAGCCUGUUUUUCCAGAAUUGAAGUUUGUUGCUCAAAACGACUAAACAGGUCGUUACAUUCUGUAAGUCUGCUUCUCUCUUCUUCUUUUUUUUUGUUUUAUCAUUAUUUUUAUUAUAUUAUUAUUUUAUAAUUUUUGUCCUCUUCUUUCUUUCUUUUUUUUCAAAUUAUUUCAUACUAAUUUUUGUUACUCUUUUUUUUAUUAUGUUAUUGUUUUUUUUUAAAACGUUCUAUUUAUAAAUUUUAAAUUUUUAUUUUUAUUUUUUAUUUCUUACUUCUCCCCCUUUUUUUUUACGUUUUAAUACAUAUUUUUUUUGAAUUUACGUUCUUUUUUUUUGUUUAUGUUAAAAAAUUUUGUUAUUUUUUUUUCUUAUUAUUAUAUUUUCAUGCCCUUUUUUUUCUUUUUAUUUUUUAAAUCUCUUUUUUCUUUAUGUAAUUUCUCAAUUUUUACUUCUGUUAUUAUUAUUAUUAUUAUUAUUAUUAGUAAAUAAUAUUAAUCUCUAAAUGAAAUUUAUUUACCUUUUAAUUACAAUUCUACUUAGAUUAGUUUUUCUUUUUGAAAAAAUUAUUUAUUAGUUAUUAUUUUUAUAUCCUAAUCUAACCAGUCUACAAUUUAUUCAACAAAAAUCUCUAAAGUGAAAAUAGACGAAAAAAUAUAUUAAUCUAUUUAAAUUCAACAACUCAAUAUCAUGAAGUAACAUAAAUUGCAAAAUCUAUCUAAAAACAUAAUAAUAGUAAUAACGUAACAAUAAUAUAAUACAUGUGAUUUGAAGUAUUUCAUGCUAUUAAAAUCAACUUUUCAUAGAAGUAGUAUUAUUUAAAUUACGCGAGAAUUUACAGUUACCUCGCUGCGAAAAUUGAUACCACAAAAGCGAGCUGUAUCCACAAAUUCGGAAUCACGAUCAAAUCUCUAACUCUAACCUAAUUCUCAAAAGAAAUAACUCGUUUUUUUCCUAUAUUUCUCUCUGUAUUUUUCUCUAUAUCUCUCUUUUCCUCUCUGUAUUUCUUUGUAUCUGUGUAUCUGUGUAUAUUUACAUCUCUCUGUAUUUUUUUUCUUCUCAACUGAACGUGUUUUUAUAAUAAUUUUGGCUGAGAGUUUAGUGUUAAUUAAAAGGAUAGUAAUAGAGUUGGAUUAUGAUUUAAUUUGAAAUGUUGUUGAGGGGAUUGGGGUUGAGAUAAGGAUGGAUAUAAAAUAAUUAAAUAAUAAUAAUAGAAAAUUAAAAAAAAUAAAAAAAAGUGAAAUGAACGUCCAAAGAGAGAGAGAAGAAAAAAAAUAAAAAAUAAAUGGGAUGGGAUUUUUUAGUAAAAUAAGUUAGGAAGUUGGGAAUAAUUAGGAUAAGGAAUAGGUAAUUUGAAUAUUUAGGACUCCCCUUUUUUUCUUUUUCUACCAUUAUUUUUAAACUAAUUAAAAGUUGAAGAUUUAAAACAAAUACCAUAAAUUCAUAAUUUUUAUCAUUAAAGUAAUUUAUACAAUUUAUUUAUUUUUUAUUUAUUUUAAAUAUAACCUUUUUUUAAAAAUUGGUGUUUGACUCUUUAUAUUUUGGUAAAAAAUUAGGUGUUCACAGUAUGCCCCUCUUUGUUUAAAAACAUGAAAAGUUUUCAUGCAAAGACGUGAACAAUGUGACUAAUUUUUUACUGAAAUAUUUAUGCGAAAAAUUUAUAGUAGAGAAGAAGUUUGACUGUAUCCUAACUUUUUAAAACUACCUAUCCUAUGUUGAGAUGAUAAGGAGUCAGGCGUAGUUCCAAUGAGUUAGGUAGCCGAGUGAGGUUUUGUCGAGAUUCCGGUUCGUAGCUCCAGCUAUUACAAAAAAACAACAUGCAAAAGAAAAGAUAUGAAAUCCUAUCUACUCCAUAGUGUCAAGUCUUCAUUUUGGAUUCUUAGAUAUCGCUUCACCCUCUUUGGUAGGUUCAUCGAUUCCGAACUUCGCUUUGGACAUCUGAGUUUAAGACUUGAAACUUCAUGACUUGACUUCAGCUACUGACGUUCUCCCGCAUGAUAUUCUUGAAAUCUUAUUUUCUUGAAAGGAUGAAUUCUUUUAUUUUUGAACUGCAAAUUUGUGUACUAUGUAGAAACCUGCACACAAAAACAAAAUUUUCUACCUAGUUUGUACUAGGAAUUUUGUGAGUUAUUGAUUAAAGCUAUAAAAAUCUAUACUAAUAAUAAAAUAAUAUUUUUGUAGCCUAUUACAAAAUGUAAAACAAAAAAUAAGACGAAAGUGAGUUUUGUACCCAAAUUGCAAUCAGGGGUUAUUAUGCUCUGUGGAGACAUAAAAAAUAAAAUAGGGGUUACUGUGCCCUAUAUGCAACCCAGAGGUUAUUGUGCCCUGUGAGACAUGAAAAAUAAAAUAGGGGUUAUUGUGCCCUAUAUGCAACCAGGGGUUAUUGUGCCCUGUGAAGACAUGAAAAAUAAAAUAGGGAUUAUUGUGCCCCAUAUGCAACCAGAGGUUAUUGUGCCCUGUGAAAACAUAAAAAAAAUGAUAGGGGUUAUUGUGCCCUAUAUGCAAUCCAGGGAUUAUUGUGCCCUAUGAAGAAAUGAAAAAUAGGAUAGCGGUUAUUGUGCCCUAUAUGCAACCAGAGGUUAUUGUGCCCUGUGAAGACAUAAAAAAUGAUAGGGGUUAUUGUGCCCUAUAUGCAAUCUAGGGGUUAUAGUGCCUUGUGAAGAAAAAAAAUGAUAGGGUAAAUGUGCCCUAUAUGCAACCAGGGGUUAUUGUGCCCUGUAAAGACAAAAAAAAUGAUAGGGGUUAUUGUGCCCUAUAUGCAAUACAGGGGUUAUUGUGCCCUGUGAAGACAUGAAAAAAAUGAUAGGGGUUAUUGUGCCCUAUAUGCAAUCCAGGGGUUAUUGUGCCCUGUGAAAAAAAAAUGAUAGGGAUUAUUGUGCCCUAUAUGCAAUCCAGGGGUUAUUGUGUCCCGUGAAGAAAAAUGAUAGGGGUUAUUGUGCCCUAUAUGUAAUCCAGGGGUUAUUGUGCCCUGUGAAGACAUGAAAAAUAGGAUAGGUUUUUUUUUUUACUUAUGUUAUUAUUAUUUAUUAUUAUUUUAUUUUAUUUUAUUUAUAUUAGUAUAUUGACCAAUUUAAAAAUAAAAUAAAAUGCCCCAGAUUUUAUUAAGAAAAAAAAUAAUUCAUUUUUUUUUGCAUAUUAUAUGAGAGACAAGGAUAAAAAAACUUACCAUCGCGGCGUUUGUCUCUAGCGAAUUACUUGCAUGAUUUGUCUUUAUAGCUCUUUCAGCCUAUAACUUUAGUUCUAUCUUUAUUGUGCUCAUGCCAAGACGGAAUGUCAUCAUUUUAUAAAUGGUAUCAUUCGUGAUUUUUUUACCAAGUAGACAUUCUUAUAUUUUUUACUGUCGUCUUAUGUUUCUCUCGAGAGUUUUCACUCAUAAGACCCUUUUAUUUUUUUUUAUUUUUUAUUUUCUAUUUUUUCUAUAACAUACCAUAGGCUACAAUGUCAUGUUUCAACCUUGUAGAUUUUAAAUAGCAUGAUCAUUAUUUUAUUGAGUGAUUAGACCGAACCUCAAUGAAAGGCUACCUACAUAUCCUCUUAGGAAUCAGGUCGAACGUAGUUCAACAAAAAAUAUUUUUCUUUUUUUUAAUUUAUUUUUAAAAAUAUAAUGGAAAAAUUGGAAAAAAAAUUAGUUCAUGUUUGAUAGUGCUUUGACGUUAGUUGGUACCAACAAUUAGUAUUAUGCAUAUGAACUACAUUCAACGACUUUCAAAUAAAUUUGAGGUCAACUUUGAAUAAUUUAUAUAAUUUCAAAUUGUAUCUCAAAUAUAUUUAAGUAAUUACAAGAUCAAUUUAUCUUGUCAAAAUUAAGGGAUAGAAUUAUUCGUAUCCUCAUGUUUCAAAUGCACUCUCAAUAUAUGAAAGUCCUACUUCACACAAUAUAAUAAUUUAGAUCGUAGGACAUUUUUGAAAGUCACUCCCACUCAGAAAGAUAUUCAAUGCAUGAGAUUAAGAUACCAUAUGCUUGGCCCUCAUGUAAGCAUCCACUAAUAUGAGAACAUAAAAAAUGAGAUCAAAUAGGACUUGUCAUUGGCUUGUAAUGUAGUCUUAGGGAAAGGUAGGAUAUUCAUUUGAGAUAAAGUGACUAUUUCCUCCUUAAAAUUCGCACGAUGCUUUUGAUAUUUUUUUUUUCGUUUUUGCAUUUGACCUUUGUUUUCUUGUAAGGUCUUUUCCAUUUAUUUUUUCUCUCUUCAUUUUUUGAUCUUCUCUCCUUUUUGUUGGAGUUUUUUUUUUUCAUUUUUCAUUCUAUCUUUUUUUUUGGACAUAUUUGGUCUUUUUCACUUUGUUAUCCAACUUAGAUCUUUGAUGUUAUAUAGAUAUUUCCUAGUGCGCUCAAGGAGGUGAGAUAAAUGGAUUAGUGCAUUUAUACACUCAAAAGGUAUAUGCUAAGAUAUGGUUAUUCUAAUAAAAAACUUCCAGGGUCGAAAUGGGAUGUAGAUAAAUGUUAUUCGGUAGGCUUGAAAGGCACAAUUGAUUCAAAGAAAGCCUAUAAUCCUUUCUCAAGUUAAAUGUUGCUCAAAAUUUCGUCUCAACCAACAUUCGGGCCAAGUUCUAGAUCAGCAAAAUCAUGACUUUGAAUUUUACGUCUAAAGCUCACCACACAAUGCAUUUGAAACAAUGAGGUCAAAUUUAUUUUAUCCAUAACUUUAAACAAGAUAAUUUCUCAAGUAUGACAUAAAUGUAUUGAGAGAUGUCAAUAGAAGUCUAUAGGUCACAACAAAGUUGAUCUGUCUUACCAAAUAGUUUAACACUUUAUUUUUUCUUUCUUAUGCAUAAUCCUAAGCAUGUUGUUACCAACCAAGUCAAAGAAAAAAAAUCUAUUUUUUUGCCCCAGUUUAUGUGACUAGAAUUUUUAGGUUUUUUUUUCUCGGUUGGACCGAACCUCACAAUAAGGUUGCCUACGUAUCUCGUUAAAACAAGAAUCAGGUCUAACGUAGUUCCAAAAUAUAAGUAAAAAUAUGUUUUCUUAAGGAAAAAUUUCCUUUUUAAUAUAUACACAUAUUAUUUCAUUUUUUAAUUUUUAAAUAAUAAUUAAGAUAUUUUUUUGAAUUUUUUAAUUUUUAAAUAAGGAUCACCGAACCCAAGGAAGGUUGCCUACGUAUCUCAUCAAGGUGAGAAUCAGGUGUGCGUAGUUCGUUCAGAUUGAACACUAAAAUAUUUUUUGUUAGAAAUUUAUUGACAAAUGCAAUUUUUUUUCUUCGUUUAAAGUGAUAUAAGAAAACUUUUAAAAUUUCUUUUUGUGAACUUUACAUUGUAAAAGAAAAAAAACUUUUUCUAUUAUUCUGAUUUUAAUUUAAAAUGGUAAAUUGAGUUAUUUAUCUAGAUAGAUCCGAUCAUAUGUAAAGUCUUUCAUUAAAUCAUAUGUAAAUGAUUCAAAUAAUGAAGUCUAUUAGGAACUAUUACAUUUGGUUUCAGUUAUCAUGUUUAAACUCGUGGAGAAAAGUAUCUAGACUGGCUAUAAAACGAGCUGACAACUCGAGUUAGGAAGUAGCAACGUACCGGUAGCAGCACUUUCCGGCUUUGUGCAUGGGUGCUCCCUAUCCUAAAUAUGUGUGAUUAAAAAUCCUUCACCAUGGACCGAAGAUCCACUGGCUAUAUUGACAGAAAUGGGGUGCAUAGUUGCAAUUCCCAUCAUAUUAUUAUUGAAGACUUAGUAAAAUUCGCGAGAGAUCACAAUUUAUAUGCAGAUCAAAUAAUAUCAUACAUUAAAUAAGUAGACAAUUUACACAUUAAGACAAAUAAAUACAAUAUCCCAAAAUGUAAAUAAUAAAUCAUAGUCAUACAUAAAUCAAUAUUGAAAGCUCGAAUUCUAGUUAAUCCCCAGCGUAGUCGCCAUCUGUCACACUCCUUUUUUUUCCUCUCAAUAUUUUUUUAUUUUUAAUUUUUUAUUGUUUCGAAAGAAAAAGAGUUUUUUCAAUUAAAGUGACAUUUUGAAAAGGGAUAAUUAUUAUUCAGAGUCGCCACUUGGAAUUGAUUUUUGGUGUUCCAAGUCACCUUAUUUAAAUCCCUAAUCAAAAGGAAAAUUGACUCUAUUUUUUAUUGGUCUGCAAACUAAAAAUCCGAGUAAGGAAUUCUGUUGACCAAGGGGAAGAUGCUAGGCAUCCCUCGAGUCCCGUGGUUCUAGCACGGUCGCUUCAUUGACUUUUAAUAUGACUAAACUUAAUUUUUGGACACUGUAUUAUUAAACUUAAUAUAAAAUUGUAUUUUAUUUUCAGAUUUAUUCUAAACUUAUUUUAAACUGACUAAUUUUGCUUUUACAUUUUUUUUAUAUUUUUAUGUUAUUAUAGGGAUGAAUUAUAUAGGUAUUUUAUAGUUAGAAAAUAUUUAGAGUUCACGUUAAUUUAGAAUUUCUAUUUUUUUUAAAAAAAUAAUAGAAAGAUGAAAUUUUAUGAGAUUUGAAUUAGUUUUAAAAUCACAAAAAUUCUAAAUAGAUUAGGACUAUAUUAAUUUUUUAAGAAAGGUUAAAUUUUAUUUUUUUUAAUCUUUUAAUGCAUGUAACAAUUUUUAACUCUUCUUCUUUUUUUAAAAAAAUAAUUAUUAUUUUUAGAUUAAUUCUUUUUGUUUACGUUUGUUAUCUUUUUUGAUAUAACUAAUUUUUAUUUUUAUUUUUUUUUACGUUCCUUACUAAAAAAAUAAUUUUGUGCUACAUCCUCUUUUUUUUUUUUACUUUUUCUUUCUUUUUAUGUUUUUAACUUUUUUUUCUUUUUACGUUUUUUAUUCUGAUUCUCUUUUUUUUUCACGUUUUUUUUUACUUUUUUUUAAAAAUUCUGUUUCUGUUUUUUUUGGAAAAAUCUGCUUUUUUUCUUAUUUUAUUUAUUUAUUUUAUUUUAGAUUUUAUUUAUAUAUAUAUAUAUAUAUAUAUAUAUAUAAGAGUCUGCUUCUCUCUUCUUUCUUUUUUUUUUGUUUUAUCAUUAUUUUUAUUAUAUUAUUAUUUUAUAAUUUUUGUCUUCUUCUUUCUUUCUUUUUUUUUUUCAAAUUAUUUCAUACUAAUUUUGUUACUCUUUUUUUUUAUUAUGUUAUUGUUUUUUUUUAAACGUUCUAUUUUAUAAAUUUUAAAUUUGUAUUUUUUAUUUUUUUAUUUCUUACUUCUCCCCCCCCCCCCCUUUUUUUUACGUUUUUAUACAUAUUUUUUUUGAAUUUACGUUCUUUUUUUUUUGUUUCUGUUAAAAAAUUUUGUUAUGUUUUUUUUUUCUUAUUAUUAUAUUUUCAUGCCCUUUUUUUUCUUUUUAUUUUUUAAAUCUCUUUUCUCUUUAUGUAAUUUCUCAAUUUUUACUUCUGUUAUUAUUAUUAUUAUUUUUAUUAUUAUUAUUAUUAGUAAAUAAUAUUAAUCUCUAAAUGAAAUCUAUUUACCUUUUAAUUACAAUUCUACUUAGAUUAGUUUUUCUUUUUGAAAAAAUCAUUUAUUAGUUAUUAUUUUUAUAUCCUAAUCUAACCAGUCUACAAUUUAUUCAACAAAAAUCUCUAAAGUGAAAAUAGACGAAAAGAUAUAUUAAUCUAUUUAAAUUCAACAACUCAAUAUCAUGAAGCAACAUAAAUUGCAAAAUCUAUCUAAAAACAUAAUAAUAGUAAUAACGUAACAAUAAUAUAAUACAUGUGAUUUGAAGUAUUUCAUGUUAUUAAAAUCAACUUUUCAUAGAAGUAGUAUUAUUUAAAUUACGCGAGAAUUUAUAGUUACCUCGCUGCGAAAAUUGAUACCAUAAAAGCGAGUUGUAUCCACAAAUUCGGAAUCACGAUCAAAUCUCUAACUCUAACCUAAUUCUCAAAAGAAAUAACUCAUUUUUUUUCUAUAUUUCUCUCUGUAUUUUUCUCUAUAUCUCUCUUUUCCUCUCUGUAUUUCUUUGUAUCUGUGUAUAUUUACAUCUCUCUGUAUUUUUUUUCUUCUCAACUGAACGUGUUUUUAUAAUAAUUUUGGCUAAGAGUUUAGUGCUAAUUAAAAGGAUAGUAAUAGAGUUGGAUUAUGAUUUAAUUUGAAAUAUUGUUGAGGGGAUUGGGGUUGAGAUAAGGAUGGAUAUAAAAUAAAUAAAUAAUAAUAAUAGAAAAUUAAAAAAAUAAAAAAAAGUGAAAUGAACGUCCAAAGAGAGAGAAGAAAAAAAAUAAAAAAUAAAUGGGAUAAGAUUUUUUAGUAAAAUAAGUUAGGAAGUUGGGAAUAAUUAGGAUAAGGAGAAGGUAAUUUGAAUAUUUAGGACUCUCCUUUUUUUCUUCUUCUACCAUUAUUUUUAAACUAAUUAAAAGUUGAAGAUUUAAAACAAAUACCAUAAAUUCAUAAUUUUUAUCAUUAAAGUAAUUUACACAAUUUAUUUAUUUUUUAUUUAUUUUAAAUAUAACCUUUUUUAAAAAAUUGGUGUUGGACUCUUUAUAUUUUGGUAAAAAAUUAGGUGUUCACAAGGAUUAUGUGAGUAUUAAGGGAAAACUUAAUAUUUCUAACAUAGACAUUAAAUAAAUUUAUACCUUCAGCAAUGAGGUCAUGGAUUAUGACCUGCAAUUCUUGAACUUGGGUGACGACAGUCUUACUGUCUAUCAUCUUAUAGUCCAGAAUUUUUGUCACAAUGAAUUUCUUCAUUCUGGCAUCUUCUGUUUUAUAUUUCCUUUCUAAAGCAUCCCAGAGUUGUUUUGAGGUUUUGGCAUUGCUGUACACAUUGUACAGAUCAUCUUACAGAUCACUCAAAAUAUAAUUUUUACACAAAAAAAUCUGAGUGUGUCCAUGCUUCUGUUACCAAGAAUCGUUCAUCAGCCGGAGUUUCAUCUGAUAUAACAGGAACAUUCUCAUUAAUGAACUUCUGCAGACUCAACAUAGUGAGAUAGAAGAACAUCUUUUGUUUUCAUCUCUUAAAGUUGACUCCAGAAAACUUUGUAGGUUUCUCAGUCGGCUCUAAGGCAGUAUUUGAACGAUUAUGUGCAACCGAUGUUGUAGCAGCACUUACUGUUCCAAUAUUUAUUUGACUUGAAUCAGUCAUUUUUUUCUGUCACAAAUGACAGAUAAGUUAAGUAUUUGAAAUACUAACAGUAAAUAACAAAUCUUUACACAAACUGUUUAUGAUUAAACGAUAAAGUUAUUAUGUUCUUUUAAUCGUUAAUCGAAUGAAUUUUAAAAAUUCAAGCAGAGUAGAAAAUCAUAAAGGUUUUAAUCUCCAAAAACCUCAAAUACAGAAACUUUUAAAUUUCUUAAGAUUGUUAUUCUUAUAGUAACCUGUAUUUAUAAGGUUAAUAAACAGAAACAGAAAUAAGAUGAAGCAGAAAAACAUAAAAUACAAGAAGUAAUCCGAGUCCACAGAAACUACUGUGUAUCCUUAAGAAAUUUAAUUCCCUCACUGUACCCAAGGUUAUGGAUUAAUUUCUCCCAAGAUAAAACAAAUUAAACAUGUUAAAGAAAUAGCGGUACCUCAAAUUUCUUUAACUUCAGCGAACUUGAGAACAACAACAAGUCAUACAGACUCAGUCAAUCGACAGUUUGAUUUUAUUGGAGAGAAAAAUAAAUGCAGAGAAGGAAAAUUUUCAGUGUUUAAAAAAUCGAAAAUUGACUUCCUUUUAUAGCAAUUUCAGCAAGAAACGUGUCUGUUCAGAGAAAUCUGUUCAGACCCGUUUAUUCCAAAAAGUUGUGUCUUUUGGAAAAAAUAACAACUUUUCAGAAAAAUGUGUCUGUUAGGAAAAUAACGACUUUUUGGAAAAUAACGACUUUUCGGAAAGAGUAACAACUUUUCAGAAUGUUACGUUACCCGCAAAUUUAUAAGAGAUGAUAUUAACAGGAUUUAUUUGAUUUAACAAAAAUUGAUUAAAUAAAUUUUAUCCAAAAAAUUUAUCAAUCAAUCACAUCAAAAUCUGAAAAGCCGAAGCUGAGCGACGACGACGGCGCGAGGGGGUAUCUUCUUCUUAGCUCUUUAAGAAGUAAUGGAAGUGUUUCCUUAUAUAAGGACAACAAUUUCCCUUUGUUUUGCCGAUAUGGGAGAAAUAACUUUUCAUUUGCAUUUUGCAAAUGAGUUUUCAUUUUUCCUCUAAAGUAGUUCCCUCACUUUUCAUAUUCUCUCUUUUCUUUUCCCAUUCACACUUGCUAAACCCCAACAUUUAUUUAACUAGAGAAUAAGAUUUGGUUGCAUCUGGUGAGUCUCGCAUUGCUUCAUGUGGAAAGAGACCAUUUGAUUUGCUAUGUUUAUUUAGUUUCCUUAAACUCUUAGAGUCGCUCCAUUUGUCAGUUCUUCUUUAGAGUCAUGAUAUUCUUUCAAAUUGUAGUUCAAGUGACUAGUUUGAACCUCUUUUUUUAUAGUUGGAGAUAAAUUAGUUUUAUUGCGUGACAAUUAAAUCAUUGAUGGAUAUUAUUUUGUGGUCUACAGUUGUUAUUAGUUGGGUUGUGAAUUUGUAAGACAUGAAAAGUUCAGGAUAGACAUAAAAACAAAGGAAACUCUGCCCAAUUUUCUAUAAAAUCCUGAUAAGGCUUGCUUUGGGGUUCUCCUCCUUAGCGUCGGUCAUGAUCCUUGAUUGGGUCGUGACAAAGAACCUUAUUCUUAUUUUCUUUCUUUUGUAGUUAUGGAUUAUGAACGAAAUUUUUAGGAGCUUUUGCAAAUUUGUUAUUAUAAUAAACUUAAUUAUGUUUAAUAGUUAUAGUUUGCAUAUUUAUGGAUUGUAACUACAGUUUAAGUAGCCUCUUUGCAUAAUUUGCGGGUAUAUUUAUAUAAUUAAGUUAUUUUUAUAAAAUUAAAUUUAUACAAUUACAAACAUCAUAAGUGUAAACAGUUAUAUAUAAAAAUUAUAUUAUACAAAUUCUGAAUGAAACCUGGAGUAAUUGUCAAAUCUAUAUUAAUUUGUAUUUAUUUUAAAUAGGUUUAAAGAAUGGUUACAAGUAAAUGAAAAUAAGGGAGGUAGACGUAAUAUCGUAAACCAAAAGGGAGUUGAGUGUUAUAGAGCGAAACAUAGAGGUCUCUGAAAUUAUCCCUAUAAAUAUUAUAAAAAUAAUUUUAUUUUGAUUUGAAUAACAAGUAUUAACAUUAACAUCAUUAUAUAUUGGGUUGACCCUUCAAGCCUGUGGCCACAUACUUGUGGGUUGAACCCACUAUUUUUUAACCCAUGCAAAAAAUGAACUAAUCCAUUCUGACCCGUAAAAUAUCAAAAUCCAUAUGAAUUAACACAAAUAGAGUAGGCUAGCCCAUAUUUACAUCUCUACUUUUAAACCUUUGUAAGAUUUGGAAAAUUGGACGAGUGGCUGAAUACAAAUUGUUGGGCGCCCGCGAAGUAGGGAUUAAAAGUCAAAUUCCUACAAAAAUAUUCGCUAAAAUAAGUCCCAAUAAAACCAAUAUAUAUAGCAGUAUUGCGUUCGCCGUUUCAACUCCAUUCACCCCUCUUUCUCAUCAUCAUCUCCUCGUUCUUCUCCUCUACACGAGGCGAGUCGAACGAAGGUACAAUUUCUCUCUUUCUCUAAUGUCUAAAUAUAGAUCGUUUACUUUUAUUCAUUUUUUCAGAUUUUUUAUCUCCGUUUUGCUUAUGUAUAUGUAUUCAUUUUACUGUUUUUAGCUGUUUUCUGAUUAGAUCUGUAAUAUAUAGUGAUUGUUCUGUUUCGUAACUUUAGUGCGGUUCAUUCUGAGUAUUUUUUAAGGUGUUACGGAGAUCUGCUUUUGUUUUUGCUAGAAAUGUGAUUUAGUUUAAUGGAUCCAAUCGUAUUUGUGUUUUUCGAUGUUUUUAUUAGUUGUGGAUGAGUAUUUUGACUGUUGAGUGGGCAGAUCUGGUCAAUGAGUUAUAGUAUUGCUAUGUUCAUUCAUUAUGCUGCUCCAUGGGCAAACGUCUAGUAAUUUUAACUAGUUUUUUUUAACUAAACGUAGUAUAGAAUUGCUGGUUGUAGUACUUUAUAUAGUCCCUCAGUUUAUGUGAUUGUAGUUGACUAGGGUUGACUAGUCACUGAGUCCAAGAAAGAAUAAUUUUUGAAACAUCUGAUCUAAAACAAGCUAUGUAUAUGUUUUUGUGGCUAUAACUAAUCUAAUUGGUAAUAUGAGAAUUAAAUUGUUUUUUAUCAUGAGAAAUUUGACAGACAAGAAAGGAGGUACUAUCAACUUAAAUUUGGGGCAGAGAGAGUAAUUUUAUUAAUGAAUUGUGAGUUGAUUCAUAUGCGAAUUUAGCAUUGAAGUUGAAUCAGGGGAAUCUGUCUAUCUGUAUAUAUUAGAUUUGUCUUAUGUCCUAUAAUUAUAAGACUCAAUCACUGCCAGCAUGCUAUGCAUACUGUUAGUACUUUGUGGACAAGAUAUAAAAAAAAGAAGUUAUUAUUGUUGGCUGAAUAUCAGCCAUAUGUAUAAAGUAUUAUAUGUAUUGUUGUGUUGGCUAAAUAUCAGUCGUAUGUAUAAAGUAAGAGUCUUUUUAUUUUUGUCGUCUUGCGUCGGCUGAAAAAAACCAAAUGUACAAAAGUCGUAAAGUAAAUAAUUUGUCGGCCAAUCAUGUAAAAAGUUUGUUGGUCAAUUAUGUAAAGUAAAUAGUAUGACGGUGUAAUUUAUGUGUAUAAAUAGAGGAGCUUUCCUCAUAAAUAAAACACACCUUCAUCCUUACAUCUCUCAUCUUUCUGAAUACCCUCUCUUUACGCUUCCACCCCAAAAUUGGUAUGGUCUGUUUGUUAAUCUAAAUUAGCCAAUGAAAUUGGAAUUGAUGCAAUGCAAAAAAUGUAAAUCUAAUUCUUUUUUAUUUUUUGAGCUCUUGCUAAUUGUGAAAGUUAUGCUUUUGGUGUGAAGUUGGUUGGUUGAGCUCCUAAAAUAUUUUGAGAUCUUACUUGAACAAGAUUUAUCUUGAGACUUUAAACCUAAAAUUUUGAGUUAAAGUUUUGCCCAAUUUAAUUGCUAUGUAGAGAUCAUAAAAGUGUUUAGCUGUUGACAUUUCUAAUGCAGUAACAGAAUUGCCAUUUCAAAUGGCGGUUGAAUGUGAGAAUACCAUGUUUAACUGGUUUAGUAAUGUUUUUAAGUUUGUUGUUGGGGUAUGUAUAUAUUGUGAGUAGAUAGAUGGUCUUAAUUGUUUAGUGUGCAGAUCAGUAGAUGAAUGGUGAGAACUCCUAGUGCUUAUGGCAGCAAUUUUUUUGUUCUUUGCUGGAUUUAUGGACUUAUUUUGUCAAUGUUGGGCUUAAGUAUAGAGAUCUGAUUCAUGCUCAAUCUGUGCAGGACUUUUUUAAACGUUGCAAUGACAGAUAUGAAUCAGCAUCCAACUGUUUUCCAGAAGGCAGCUAACCAGCUGCACUUGCGCUCUAGUCUAUCCCAAGAUGUCCAUGCUCGCUAUGGGGGCGUUCAGCCUGCUAUCUACCAGAGGCAUUUUGCUUAUGGCAACUACUCCAAUGCUGCUCUGCAGAGAGGCCAAGCCACUCAGGAUCUAUCAUUGAUCACCUCAAAUGCCUCACCUGUGUUUGUGCAGGCUCCUCAAGAGAAAGGAUUUGCAGCUUUUGCCACUGACUUUCUCAUGGGUGGAGUUUCUGCUGCUGUAUCAAAGACCGCUGCUGCCCCUAUUGAGCGUGUGAAACUAUUGAUCCAAAAUCAAGAUGAGAUGCUCAAGGCUGGUAGGCUGUCAGAACCAUACAAGGGAAUUGGCGAUUGUUUCGGGAGGACAAUUAAGGAAGAAGGUUUUGGGUCUUUAUGGAGAGGAAACACUGCUAAUGUUAUCCGUUAUUUCCCCACUCAGGUUUACCAUUUGUCUUCAUUUUGAGGGAUGAAAUUUAUACAUCAAAGAUAUAUGCACAUUUAUUGUUCUGUUGUUUGUUUAAGUUGAGCAUUGACUGACUGAUGCUCUGCUCCACAGGCCCUGAACUUUGCAUUCAAGGACUACUUCAAGAGACUCUUCAACUUCAAGAAGGACCGUGAUGGCUACUGGAAGUGGUUUGCUGGAAACCUUGCAUCAGGAGGUGCUGCUGGUGCUUCCUCUUUGUUCUUUGUCUACUCCUUGGACUAUGCUCGUACCCGUCUUGCUAAUGAUGCCAAGGCUUCAAAGAAGGGAGGCGAGAGGCAGUUCAAUGGUUUGGUUGAUGUCUACAGGAAGACACUCAAAUCUGAUGGAAUUGCUGGUCUAUACCGUGGAUUCAACAUUUCAUGUGUUGGUAUCAUUGUUUACCGUGGUUUGUACUUUGGAAUGUACGACUCCUUGAAGCCUGUCCUCUUGACAGGAAACCUGCAGGUUAUAUGUUUGCUUUGCUCUGCUUUUUCAUGUCUUUAUACUUCUCUGGAUGUUAUCUCUGCUGUGUCUUACCAAAAUGUUGUUAGUCUUUACCAUUUUGUUGGCUGUAUAAAUGCAUCAUUGUUUUCGUGUUGGAGAAGCCGAUGUUUAGAGCUUGCUGUGGGAGAGUGAUAAGAAUUCAGUAUUUGUCAUUAAAUAUUGUCAAUUUCUGCUAAUUUUUCAUCUUCCUUGAUUUGUUUGCUAGAAAAUAGAUAAUUGUAAUUGAUUUUCUCCUGGGAAGUUAAUAUGGAUAUGGAUAAAUAAAUGUUUUAGUAUAAAAAAACUAUAGUGUCUGACCCUUGUUAUGGUGCUGUAUACAGGAUAGUUUCUUUGCUAGCUUUGCACUUGGUUGGCUCAUCACCAAUGGUGCUGGUCUUGCUUCUUACCCCAUUGAUACAGUAAGAAGAAGAAUGAUGAUGACAUCUGGUGAGGCGGUGAAGUACAAGAGCUCGCUUGAUGCAUUCUCCCAGAUUGUUAAGAAUGAGGGUCCCAAAUCUCUGUUCAAGGGUGCUGGUGCUAACAUCCUCCGAGCUGUUGCUGGUGCUGGUGUGUUGGCUGGAUAUGACAAGCUUCAGGUUCUUGUUUUGGGAAAGAAAUACGGAUCUGGUGGUGCCUAAGUCAGCCUCGUAACAUCCUUUAGAAUUUAGAUGGUGAUGAAAAUCUUUUUGGUGUUACAUUUGAGUAUUCAGUUGGGGAGACAAUUAUCAUUAUUCCUUUUGCCUUUUUUUUUGUAAUAAUUCGAAAAAUCUUAGAGUGGGUCAAAGCUUAAAAACCCCACACUCGUUUCCCUUGUUGAAGGGUUAUUACUGUUUUGUUUGGGCGGACCUUAUUUCAAUUGCAGAGCUUACAGAUUCUGAAUGAAUCUUUUGAUAAAAUCAAAUGCGGAUCAGUUUGGUACUUGUGUUAUUUUAAGUGUGGUAUACAAUAUUAAGCAUGCGUACAUUUUCUUUUUUUAUUCAACUUGACACAUUUUAUUUUGUUGUGGCA
This 79676-nucleotide long non-coding RNA is filed under the name Solanum lycopersicum (tomato). RNAcentral's name for it is "long non-coding RNA (SLYC_LNC000955)". Lineage: Eukaryota; Viridiplantae; Streptophyta; Magnoliopsida; Solanales; Solanaceae. The record is from RNAcentral.